GGAGUGGUAGGUUUUGGCACUAACCCUUUUCGUUUUGGGAUGUUAUCUCAUUGCAGUUGCUCUGCUGGUCGAGCUGGGAAACCUGUUGUUAAAUGGACUGAGGUACUUAAACAUCUGCUACAAUCGAUUUUUUCUUCUUUCCUCUAAUGUGCUUUCAUUAAUCCUCCUGUCUUGUCCUGCCAUUUGGAAUGAGCUAUAAUGUCUGUAUUUUUUCCAUUCUUUUAUUAAUAUGAUUGUGUCCUAGGUACAAAGUUGGUUCCAAAGUAGGCAACAAGACAGACCAACCAAAGUUACCUCAUCAACUAAUGAGUCAAAAAAAGGAUCUGAUCUCCCGGAUGCUUGCCCUCCAAUUAAGGAACAUGGAAGUUCUCAAGAGCCUAGAGGUGCUUCUUCUCUUAAUUCGAUUACUGAAACCGCAGAAUAUUGGAUUUUUUUUUUCAUUUUUCAUAUUUGUAGUAUUUUAAUUUUUGAAUUGCUCAAUAGCUAACUGCUGAACACUUGUAAUUGUUACUUGAUUUUUUUAUUUGGGAAUUUAUUUCCUGAUCACUAGUAAUUAAUUAAUUUUUUUUUUUUUUCAUAACCAGGAGAAAAGGUUCCAGAUGUAUCAGAAAUGGAAUUUGAAGCUAGAUCAUCGAAAGAUGGGGCAUGGUAAGCUUACAUAUAAUAAGCAAGAAAGGUUUGAAUCAUUACUUGAAUGUUUAAGUGCAUCCAGGUUGGAAGGCCUCUAGCAUCUUUUGAUAUCAGAAAAAUUUGCAAUUUAAGGCGAUCGCAUAAUGCUGUAGGUAACAACUGCAAGAUGGGGCAUAAGCAUUAUGUUUUUCCAUCAUUGUGGUUGAAUGUACAUAAAUUAAUGAGAAAUAUUGAAAGAGGAAAAUGCUUAUGCAAGUAAAAUGUUAAACAAAUUGCCAUAUAUUGAAAUAACUUUUUUUUGGCACCGAGAAACCAAAAUAUCAUGUUUUGACUUUGAGAUGUGGUUUCAUCUAAUCUCUCUCUAUCUCUCUUUCUGUGUGUGUGUGUGUGUGUUUAUUUCAAUUGUAGUUUACUCAUCAUAGCGUACCAACAGAAUGCUAUCUAUUGGUUGAAGGUUUUACAUUUUACCAAAAUAAGUACAAUUUAAACAUUGAUGUAGCAAGCCCAAGAGGUGGACAUAUAUGAUGUCAUUGGAAGUUCCAGUCUCUGACCCUAGAUCAUCAACAGCUGCAUUAUUAAUUGCAACCUUCAGAAAAUUCACAGAUAGCUGGCUUGCUUCAUUUUAGAAUUAAGUUUCGAUAAACUGAAAGUAGUUACACGUAUUGAUUGAUAUAUAGGCUUUAAAGCUUAAACAUUGAAUAAUUAUGUUUGGAUGUGCAGGUAUGAUGUUGAUAUGUUUCUAGCUCACAGGUUUCUUGAUUGUGGCGAAGCUGUAAGUAUUUAGCUCGUAACAAUUUGCUUUACUCUAUAGAGUAGUACUGAUUUUUUUAACUGAUGUUAAAUAUUCUUGUGACUAUGGCUAUAAUAUUUAAAAGGGGCAGGCUCCUAGACUAAAUUCUUUCUGUACAAAUAAAGCGGUAAUUAGGUGGUAUUGACCAUCAUGUAUGUGAUUAUCAAUAAACCAGUCUAUUUUGUUGUCUCUGUUUCAUAAUUCAAUUGAUAAAAUUUCUAAUUUAUUAAAGGAAGUUCGUGUUAGAUUUGUGGGAUUUGGGGCGGACGAAGAUGAAUGGGUUAAUGUAAAAAAUGCGGUGCGAGAACGCUCUGUCCCUUUGGAGCCUUCAGAUUGCCAUAAGUUGAAGGUUGGAGGUCAUGUACUUUGCUUCCAGGUGAUUUUAAACUCGUUGCUUUCUUGGAAACAAUAUCAGAACUUUUCUCAGUAUCUGCCAUUUCAUCUUAAACUUAGUUUGUCUUAUUUAAAUGUCAGGAAAGGAGAGAUCAAGGCAUCCAUUAUGAUGCUCACAUAGCAGAAAUUCAUAGAAGAAUGCAUGAUAUUAGGGGAUGCAGGUGCCUGUUUUUAGUUCGAUAUAAUCAUGACAAUACUGAGGCAAGUACUGCUUUAACAUUUUUCAUUGUCAAUAUUGAAUGGUUAUUAGGUUGUCCACUGAUUGGUUUUCUUUUAUCCAGGAGAGAGUUCGUUUGAGGAGAUUAUGUUGCAGGCCAACGUUUUAGAUCAUUGAUGCAAUGCACGAGAUUUAAUCUACAGCUCACAUUUUUGUCUUAUUGUAUUGAGCUAGUAGGAAUAUCGACUGAUAGUCUAAUGUCUAUUAACGCGGACAUUAUGGAUGUAAAAACCUUAACCACAUGCUACUACUAAUUGUCUAUAUGCGGUAUAUAUCCCAAUUGCUAUCUAUUCUGGCAUCAAGGCUUCCCACGCUCGUUGUGGAAUAUACCGAGAUGAUCGAAAGAAAUAAUCGUAUACACUCAAUGGCUGUAGCUUAUAUUUUGGACAGCCACAACUCUCAGAAUCUCUCUGGAAAUAGAUCUCUUGUUGUUACCAUUGAGAAGGGACCAGAAUUUGACGUGGUUUACUCCGUAACAUCAGAAACUUAACAAAAUACCAGUGCCAUAUCUAGCAUCACGGUAGGCUUUUUCUUUUUUUUUUUGGGAAAUUUUUAACCUACUCUUAAAUAAAUUGAUAUUUUGUACCGCACACUCAAAAAAAUUGACGUGUUGCACUGUGCCCUCAAUUCCGUUAAUUUUUCAAUUAUUUCUAACGGCUCCAUCUAAUUUUUGAUUGAAUGACAAAAAUGCCCCUCUAUAUGAAAAAAAACAAAAUUUUUAGUUCAUUUAAUUUUUUAAGGCUUUUUUUUUUCAAUUGCAAUAAAAAAAAUUUCUUGUUACAUGUACAUUGUCACCACUAUUAUUUUUCUUUUAAUUUUUUAAAGAUUUUUAUUUCAAUUGCAAUAAUAAAAAUAUCUUAUUACAUGUACAUUUGUCAUCACUAUUAUUUUUUCUUUAAUUUUUUAAAGAUUUUUAUUUCAAUUGCAAUAAAGAGAAUUCCCAUUAAAAUUAAUUUAAAGAGUGAACUUCCAAUUUUACCCCUCCACCGUUAAAUUUAACUGAGAAAAUAACGGAAUUAGAAACACGGUGCAACAAGUCAAAUUUAUUGGGGACACAGUACAAAAUAUCAAUUUAUUUAGGGAUAAAUUAAAAAUUUCCCUUUUUUUAUAGUACAUUAUGGUUGCCAAAUAAACUAAAAUGAUCAAAACAGGAACAGAAGGCUUGAGCAUUGUAUCCCACGAAAGUCCAUAUCCAUCAAAAAACAACCUGCCAAUCUUCUCUCCAUGUUAAUGUAUGAACGAAAGCACAAGAGGCAAACCUUUCGAUUUCUCGCUUAAGUCAAUGCCAUCAGAUCAAACGGUGCACCUUAGAACUUGAAAAUAUUGUUAGCAACUGACUAGUGAGCAUAUUUUGUCAAACCGUGUUUUAACAGCAAAUGCAAGCCAAACUCAAGACAUAGGGUACGCUUAGAAUUGUUUAGAAUUGAGGUGCUGUAACUUUUAAGUUACACCUACUGUGGAAAAAAAACUGCAACUAUAAAACAAAAAUUAGUAAUAUAUAAUAAAUGUAAAUUUUAAAUAAUAAUUUUGAUUAAAUUAUUAAAAAUGUAAUAAAUUUUCUAUUAUACAAGUGAAAAAUCAUAUCAACAUAACUUCCAAACUGCAAUAGCUAGUAUUUACCAAACACUUUAAUGCUGUAACUUUUAAGUUACAACUGCUCAACCUUGAUCCCAAACGCACCCAUAAUAAUCCUAAACCCAUCUAAUAUAGGAGAAAUAUAGAGGCGUUGCAGCGAACACUAUUGAAGAGGGGUAUAAGCAUAGACAGAGAUGCAUUUGUUUGUCGAGUUCAAUGUUAGUUAAAAGUUCUUCGAGUAAACCACGAGAAGUCUACAAAUUCACCAGUUCCAAAACUAUAAAGAAUCCUGUCCAUUCUAUGAAACACAAAAAUAUCAUGAGCAACGUCCAGUCAGUACUUCGGCUCUGGGUGGGGGGGUGUCCUGAGCAUAAUGAAGUUGCCACUUCAUUGACAACUUGGGGGAAAAUGAGAGCAGUAAAUUUUAGUAUCACCCUGUAUGAAUGAAAUGAAAAACAGAUCAGUCAUGCAAUAAUACAAUGACCCAACCUGCUUUAGCUUGUGAACAUAAAUAAUUAGCUGUGUCAAACUUGACAAUAUUUAGGCACCAAGGAAAUGAAAGAACAAGGAGAUGUUUGGUUAAUAACUUCACCAUACUCACCUAAUCCAUGGAUGUACGGAAGUUCAGGGACAUAGUCUCAAAAUUAUUAAACCUUAAGUUCAGUGAUAAUAUUGAAAAAACACAGCCACAGAGAUUCAACAACACUGAUGAAGCUUUUGCAGAAAUAAAGGCCCAGAGUCUUACCAGCUGAAUACACAGAAGUAACCAUUGCUUGGUAUAGUGGCCAACAAAAAGAUUACAGCUUCCACUGAGUACAUAAAUGUAAUAUCAAUGAUAAUUUAUAAAUAAAACUGGCCACAAUGCGAGCAUGAGAUAAGGCAAGAAUUCACGCAGACAGAUAGUAGUUCCAGUAACCCAACAACAUUCCCAAGACUUACCGAGUUCACAAUUACUUGGCUUCGUGUUACCAGAAAUCUUAUGCUGGAAUGAAAGCCUUGACAACUGUGCUUCAGCUGUCCAAGAUCUUGACCAAAAUUAGUAACCCUUACAUGAUAAUAAACACAAAGACUAAAAGAAGAUUAACAUAGUCAAGCCUUAUUAAACUUAACAAACAAAAUGAUGCCACGACUUACCAUGCUGACAACUGCUUGCUUUCUUGGUACACUUCCUACAUAGGUAUCUAAAUAGGCUUGCCUACUGUGUUUCUGCUCCCAAGAUCUUGACCAAAAUUAGCAGCUGAUACUUAAUUAUACACAGAAACACUAGUAGGUAAAAAUAGUCGAGCCUCAUUGUGCAGAUAAACUUACAGAGUUAGACAGAAGCAACAUGCAUUAUACCUGGCUAAACAUUAGUCUAAACAAAGGACAGCAGCAAUUAGAGUGUGGUCAAGACAAAAAGUACCAAUAUUUGAAUCUAACAUAGAAUUUAAUACAUCAAUGACUAGCCUGAGAAAAUAAUUUGCACAUGGUUACUCCACGAAAGCCAGUGCGUGAAUUGAUCAAUGACCCAAUACAUAUCUAAAAUUAUAAAUUUUAUCCAUGAAAAGGCUUAUCCUGAGAGAUUCAUAAUUCUCUGAAUAAGCAAUCACCAUCAGCUUGUAAGUCGGAAAAUCAGUGUUACCAGAGCCACUCAGGUCACAUAGUAUCUUGUAGGGAAUAAUGUAUAGAAAAAAAAAAUGGUAGUUGAAUAUGUCUGCACUAGAAGAGAUGGAGGUUUCGGAGGUUGGAAAUCAGCAUGCUUGAGCAAAUGGAACAAGAGCUUUUCAAUAUUCAUAUAAACUUGGGAUGGGGCAAGUAUGUGCAUAAAUUUAUAGCAUAAAAAUUGAUAACAAUAAGCUUACAAAACCACUAGAGAGUAAACAAAAUAGAUAACACUCUCUCUAUUUCUUUCAGGUCAAAUUGAGACAUAACAGAAUCAAGUCCAUAACAGGGUGAGAAAAAUAACUACAGACUGACUGGCUGGACAGUCUCUACAUUGCAACCCAUUUUCCAGGUUCCCAAAAUACCAUUCAUGAUAAAACAUGACCUGUGCACAUGCCUUCAACCUAGAGAUUAUUUUUCAAAACUAUACAAGCGCUGUAACAAUAGGUAACAGUUAACCAUCCCAGUGGCUAUGAGAUAUCUAAUACUAGUUCAUAUCGAUUUCAUCACAAUUGAAAGACAGUGCACAGGUGUUUGUAGCAGAUGCUACAUAAUAGCAACAGUAAAGUAGAGUUUUGCAUACAUCAACUCCCAAAUGCCAUGAUUGGUCAACUCAGCUAAAGAGGAACUCAGCUUCACAAGCAGGUGAAGUAAAUGGUGAAGACUGUUUGCAGUUGUAGAAGUGCAAGAUCAAAAUAAAUCAAGUGGCAUUCCAACAAAACUUUGAAUUCAUGAGACAGUUCGACCAUAGCAAACAGAUGCGAUAUAAAGAUUCUUUGCCCAUUUCUCCUGCAAGAUAAAAUAUAAAGAAAGGCAGCACCAAGUGACUACUUACUCUCAUAGGAAUAAACUAUGGCUAAAGGAAAAACAAAUAGAAAUAAAGUAGUUUAAAAUGAACAUGAUAAGAAUAUCUCACAAUCCACCUUGACAUGAGUGCUAGGAAAAGCAGAAGUUCGGAGAGUCUCUUGAGUUUCAUCAGCCGGUUUUCUUCUAGGAACACUGAGAACAAAAGCAGCCUGGUCCCAGGUAGCCGCAGUUGAUGUGAUACGAUAGCCACUAUCCCAUCUCCGGUGAAUACCUUCACUAGGAUACAGAAAAUCCAGUUCCACAACCUGCAGUGGAAAAAUUAUUUUAUAACAGAGAUAUUUUCUUAGACACCAAAAAGAUUCCUGCUUCCACAGAUAUUCACAAAUCCCAACAUAUACCUGAUCAGAAAAUCCUGCACCACGAGACAUAACAAUUGCCCAUCUACUUCCAGCAGUGGCCAUAGCAGUUACAUAAAAACCCUCCCUCCAUUUUUUAUUGAUCCACUUAAAGGGAAAUGAAUCACUGACUUUAUAGGAUUGCUGCAAAUACUGUGUACCUAUUCAAAUAAAACAAUAAAAAUCUAAGCAACCUGGGUAUUAAAAAAUGUUAUACCAUAGCUGCUUUGCAGAUAUACCAACUAACCUUUAGACAUUACAACUAAUGAGCUACCAUUAUUCGCUCCUGCUAUUGCACUAAUGUAGUAGUUUUUCUCCCACUGUUCCAUAAUCCAUUCCUUCAAAAUAAGACCAGAAUUUGCAAGGUUAAUUUGUUGAAUUAAAAAUAAAAGAAACCCUACAUGCAAGAAAAUACAUCCUCAUCACCUAGUGAAAUAAAUGAUGCUACUUGCCCUACUUCAGAUUUAUAAUAACCGACUUCAAAAUGGAAAUGUAACAACCUUAUGAAGAAAGUAAGGCGAAAGUUCAUAGACUUGAGCUGAGAAACCAGUGCCUGCAUCCAUAAUUAGAGCCCACAGGUUUGAACAUGAAGCUACGCUACUGAUAAAUAAUCCAUCUUCGUUUCCUUUCUCAAUAUGUUGGGAAAGUCUCGCAUCAGCCACAUUAUAAUGAUAUCUACAAAGAAGGGUAACAGGUUAACUAAUUAACAUUCCAUCAUUAACUUAUUAUCCUUCCAUCAUUAAAUUGAAGAGUGCUGAAAGCAAUUUCCAAGUAAAUACCUCUGCUUCAUAGGCCGACGGGCAUUAUAGACACUGAUCCACUGAGUUGCUGGCAUUCCCAUUCGAACCUUUUUCUUUGGUUGCUCAUCUUCUUCCUCCUCCAUUGUCAAUCGUCCUCUCUUAUGUCCUACUUGAUAUAUAAGCUUCACCAACAGAAAGUAUACAUGUCAAAUGAAAAAUCUAAUCGGAAAUCUGAAAAGUUCCUGACCCAACAGCCCUUAUGCCAGAAAACAUAGAUGCAAGAACAUGAAAAGUACCUUCUGUGCACCAUCAGUGUUAAUUGGCCUAAUAUCUGGGUUUGGGCCAACAAUCCCAUCAAAAAGAGAGAUGUAUUUUGCAUAAUUGGGUUCCUCAUCAAACUUCAAAUUAACCACAUACUCAACAAACAGUCGAAAAGGCUGGGGACAAAAGCAACACAAAGUUUCUGGGGAAGUGGCCAUCUUCUUCUUGCAAACAAGGAAUCCUUUAUUUUCUCCCUAAGCAAACCACUAAAUUAGAAUAAUGGACAAACCAAUGACAAAUACAACACCAAACAUUAGAAAAACUGCGCACCUGAUAUCCUUGCCAAGGAAGCCGACCACGAAGAAGAAAAAUGAGUGUAUAAGCAAGAGACUCAAGGUCAUCUCUCCUGCUACCAGUUCUACCAAGAUGAGCAUGCACACUAGCGUACCGCACUGUUCCCCUGUAGUUCAUGAACCAAUGAAUCAGAAUCAAUAAAAUAAUAUUUCAGAAGUAAAAGCUGUAAGUAAAUGAACGUAUCACCUAAUAGUAAAAACAAUUUAAUUCAACCUGAAAACAUCUGGACGUUGAUCAUAUUCGACAUGUUGACCAGUUGAACUAUCUCGCCACCUGGUUGCUGUAUUAUCACAAAGACAGCAAAAAUGAUGACUCAUUAGAGAAACUCUAUUGCUAGAUUGAGAAGAUAAAAGUGUUAUAUAAAUUACCUAACCCAAGGUCAACAAGAAAAAGCUUUUUCUCAUCAGGAGUUUCAGGGGGACCAAGCAAAAAGUUCUCAGGUUUCACAUCCCCGUGCACAUAUCUGCCAAAAUAAAGCAGCAACGUUAUGGUACCAUAUACAUGGCAAUAAUAAAAGAUAAACAAGAAAGAACCAUCGUUAAUGAUUUUGAAAAAGAAAUUAUAAUGAUUAUAAGGAGACAUGAUAGUAAGAAAUAUCACCCUCUCGAGUGCAUCUUCUCCAAUAUAGAGAUUGCUUCAAUGGCAAUGCAUGCAACCAUUUCAAUUGACAUCCUGAGUUGGAAAAGCAAAAGUAAACACUCGAUGGAGAUAAAGUGGUCAAGUCAAUAACAGCUAUAGGAUGGAUAUCAUCUAGCUAUCAGUUUCCAUAAGAACUUACGUGUGUGAAUUAUUAUUCCAAACAUCCCAUAAACUGGGACCAAGCAUAUCCAUGACCUGCAUGCAGAAUUGAAUAAUCAUUCUAACCAUUUCAAAAACCAUAAGAUUAGAAGCUACAACCUCUUGGUCAUAACAAACAGAAAGUGCGAUAACACAAACACAUACCAUGACAUAGUAGUCACCUUGUCGGCCCUUGAAGUGAACCCGUGGUACACCAUGACUGCCGCCAAGCGCACUGUGCAGACAGCAGAGAAAGUAAAAGUUAAACCUCACAUACAACAUGACUUCUCAAUUUUUAUAUUAACAUACAAAAAUAUAAUAAAUGAACAAAACUAAAGAAAGAGCGAAAAACAAACAAACGAUAAGAUCAGACAGAAGCCUCACUUGUAAACUUGCCACUCAUAAGGCGGUCCAUAAUUACAACCUUUGCUACUUCUAUGUUCAAACUUUAAAGCUACCUAAAAUACACAGAGAAACACAAGUGAGGUGCAAUAAUAAACAACAUAGAAAGAAAUUUUGGUAACAUUCCCACACCUCUACAGCUCCUGGGCCAGUUCUCUCAUUGGUAUUUGUCGGACCAAUUCGUCGACCAACAUAGACUUGUCCAAAUCCACCUUUUCCCAGUUUCCUAUCUAUUCUGUACACUGGGGAACCACCAACUUGGACCUGUUAUCAUGAAAUAAAGGAAUAAAUGUAUUUAGAAUUCAGUAACAACAUUUCGCAUCUUUACAGGUGAAAUCAGUAACCUGCCAACUGAAGACAUUAUUCACGACAACAAUUAAGAAGAUAGAUAGAGAAAAGAAAUACCAUAAAUAAUCCAUAACACAAUUUUAGACAAGUGAUAAAGUGUAAAAAGAUGUAUAAUGCUAGCAGUCAAAAAACAAAUUACAACUACAGCUACAAUUUCAAAGACAGCUCUAGGAAAACUGAAAAGAUAAAACUUCAAUAUUCAUCUCCUACAUUCCCUCUAAUGCCAAACCAAAUAAACCCUCAAAAGGAACCUUUAAUUCAAAAUUCAAAAUUUUCUUUCCUUUUCCUAAGUUCAGCUCUCAGCUCACAAAAAAAUUGAAGAUUAAAUAACACUGAACAUUUACCCAAUUUUUUAAUUCCCUUUUUCUUUCCCCUUUUUUUGGCAUUUUCCUUGAAAAAAAAAAUGAAAAUGGUUCAAAAGAAAGGAAAAAGGAAAAAUUAACCUUCUCAGGAAGAGGAGCUGUGCUUCCUUCAUCCUCGGCUCCGGCACCUUUAUCGGCACUACGGCCACCGCUAUCGUACUCAUCCAUCUUUUUCACCGCAACCUCUUCUCUCAAAAAUCUAAUGUCUUGCUUUUCCUUAAACGACGUCGUUGCUUCCUCAACGUUCACAAUAUUAUUAUUGUCGUCGGCAGCGUCAACGAUCGUGAUAUUACCUUUCUUUCUCCUCUGUUGCCGACUUCGAACAGUCAGCCUUUUGUUGUUGUUAUUAUUAUUAUUAUUAUUAUUAUUGUCGGGUUGUGGACUCCGGUUCGGAUUGACGGCGGCCCGGUUUCUGCGAGCUCUGCUGCUACGCAGUUCACGCAUCGUAUAGAUGAUGUUCGUCCAUGAAUGAGAAGGUUCAUGAAGCUUCUAGAAUCCUCAUCGGUCGGUCCAGAUUCGAUCGCAGCUCUGACCGAUGAACGGUGAUUACGAUUUCGUUGAUUUUUGCAAAUGCAGUGAGAGAAUAUCAGGGUUUGCAGAGUGAGAAUUUGGAGAUCUGUGGAGGGAAAUGGAUUCUAGAGAGAGAUGCUGAUGAGAGAAAAGGAAAUUUCUCCUUGAUUUUUUUUCGUUUAAUUACUCUGUUUUUUCUACUUUUAUUUUUAAUAUUCCUCACUUAAAUAUUUAUCGAUGUUCGUAAAAUUUCUUGUGGUCUUAUGGAGGUUAAAACGGGCGCCAGAAUGCGAAAAUUGUCCAGAUAAUAAUAAUAAUAAUAUAAUAUAUAUCAUUCUAACUACGUACAUCAUUAAACAAAAUCAUUUUGACGUGUUUUUUAUUCUUGGAAAUAUACGGAAAUUAAUUGACAAAAAAAUUAUUCGUUUAAUUAAUUUUCAUGCUUGCAUUGUUUUGUAGUUGAAAAGAAUAUAUAUAAAUAUAUUUGUAAUUAAACUUGUUUUACACCCAUGUAAUGUUUCUUAACAAAUAUUUAAAUAAUAGGUGCUUGCAAGGUAGGGAACGAUAUAGUUUGUUAAAUGUAACGUAGAGUGCUCCUACUGAUUUUAUAUACUAGAGUUAGAAUAAUGGUGCAUUAGAGUUUAAACACAUAAAAUUUUAGCAUAACUUAAAUAUUUAACAAUCAUUUUUUAAAAAAACUACAUAUAUUUCAUAAGUCAAUCAAGCAUCUAUGUAAAAGAAAAAGACGAUUUUUUUUUAUAUGAGAGAAUUUAGGUUAUUUCACUUGCGACAACAUUAAAUUUUCAUCGCCCUAAUAUUAUUAUUAAGCUAUCAUGCACCUCACUUUGUCGCUUUUAUUCAUGUAAUUAUAUAUUAAAUGUAUUUAAAUAUUAGAAUUAAACGUCUGGUGUUGAGUUGAUUUAUUCUCAACUUCACUAUACGUGUAAGUAUAAUAAUAUAUUAUUCAAAUUUAAUUAAUUUCAUAUUCUUAAACACUAAUAACUAGUGGUAUUUUAUUAAAAAAAAGUUAACAAAAAAAAUCAAAUAAGAAUUGAAUCUAAAUCCCUCGAAAUAUUACAUUCUUUUAGAAUAAAAAUCUUGAACUUUUACAAUACCGAUAAAAUAAUAAUAAUAAUAAAAGUCUAUCAACUAGACUAUCAUUUGAUACAAUCUUUUAAUUUCGAGCGUAAUGAGACAAUUCUAGAGUCAAUAAAAACCAAAAAGAAAGGAAAGCAUUUAUCAAACGAGCGAGCUUUUCUUUUGAUGCUUUAGAAUGUUCGAGGCCCUGGCUCUUUUACAAGAUGAGCCGUGUUUGAGAUGAUGUGGUUACUUGGGUAUUUAUAUAUAAUGAUGAUUGGUUUGAUAAUUAUAAAGAACACUCGUGAUGGGGCAUGAAAGAACUUUAUGGCAAGGCUACUAGCCUACUACGUAAUGUACCUGUAUAAUAAUUUGCCCCCGAAUAAGAUAAUGUCUGAGUGAACUUAAGGACGAACAACAUAAAGUAAGAACGGAAAGGGGGGGAAAAAGAUUUAAAGACGUGAUGGGGACACUUUAGGGGGUACAUUUCUUAGGAUUCCUCCUAAUUCGUUCGUCUUUGGAGAUAAUAAAUAAGUUAAUAGGAAGUCCAAUUUUAUUUCACAUCAGCUGAUGGCUACGAGCGUUGUUUGUGUGAGAGUUACGUGUAGAAUAUAAUUAUACAGUAUUGCAAUGACACUUAACGAAAAUUCAUUCUCUUUUGGGCUUGUCAUAUUUUGCAGUGCGAAGAAUCGGAAUCCGCAUCUUCUUUAGUGAAAAAUGAAAGAGAAUAUGGAUGCAUCAUCUAUCUUUCAUUUCAUAUAUCUCCAAGCACUGAAACCUUUGUUCCAUGGCACUUAGCCUAGCAAUAGCAACCCCUCAGUCCCCACGGACCCCACGGGCACUUGCCAUCGACCGAAAGACGUCGCUGCUUCGCUGCUUCUGUAAAUGAUAACCCCUCUUCGAGUAGCCCGGCCCAUUAAUCUACAGACCAAUCUUGAUUUUUUGGGCUUGUUAACCCCAAGUCCCCAACCAAAAAGGAAUACGAGCUCCGUUUCAUUUUGGUUGAGGAGAAUGAGCUUCGCGGGGACGAAUGAUUGACCCUCUCGAGUUUGUUGUUACAAGAUCAAUUGAUCUGGGGUGAGAUUCAAAUUCAAUCAUGGGUUUGAUCAAUAUCACAGCAUUAUGAAUUGUAGGUGCUCAGUUUUGUGUAGUCAAAGUUCUAUUGUGCCACGUGUCCAGUAUCUUUUAAAUAAUAAAAAAAAAGCGAUAAAACUUGGGACGUGCAUGAAAUUAAGGAAAAAGAAAAAAAGUUGUAUACUCCAGAACAGGACAUUGCAUAAAGGUUAGAGACGUAAAAGAAAAGGCGUGCCUACUCGGGCAACUAGAUGGGGCUGAACAUUCUCCCAUCGACAGAUGAAAAAAAAUCUCUCUCUGAUGGAGCAUUGACUUAUUGACAAUCUUUUAUUAAUUAAAUGUUAACUCUUUAAGUGUUAAAAGAGUGUCUUUACAAUUAAAAGACGGAUGCUCGAUAUUUUGUGAGUGAAAAGCCGAGUGACAACUCUGACAUUUUUUGGCAUGAAGGAUUUGGAGCACCCUCAGUAUAAUCGAUAAUAGAAUAGCCUUUUAAAUGAAAGUCAAAUAUAGUCAGCCGCUAUGGCAAUCGUUCCUAUUAAUAAUGUUUUGGUCUAUAUCUUUAAUUAUGGCCGAUCUUUGACUUAACUAUCAACUAGGAGCUACACACAUUAUUUCAAAUAUAGCUAUAUAUGUGUGCAUAUAACAUACACACACAUAUACAUAUAUGUAUAUAUGUAUAUAUGUAUAUAUGUAAAUUUGUCAAGCUUAUGGAAAUUAAUUAAUCUUCAGGAAAAAUAAUAUACAGAGAACCGGCUGAUUAAUUAUUGAGAAUUUUAGACAAACUAGAUUAAUUAUUAAAGGAAAUUUUUUUUCCAGUCUCCUAUAGUAAAUCCGCCCUUACACAUACGCAUAUAUAUAUACGUACAUAUAUAGUUUCAAUCUUUGAAAUAACGUGAGUAAUUUUUUAAAAUUAACAAUUUAAUUAAUUAUGUGAUCAUAUAAAACCUUUGAACUGCAUCUCUUGAUUUUAUUGAUUGAGUUCAAUAUAGCAAUGUUAACAGUAAGGGUGGCCAAACUCAAUCCAAUCCAAUGGAUCCAAUCUAACCUAAUCCAACCUAAUUUAAUUUUGACGGGAUGAGUAGGUUAUUAUGGAUUAAUUGGGUCAAUUUUUUCGAACCCAAUUAACAGUUGGGUCUGGUUGGGUUAAUUAUGAUAAACCCCAUUUAACCCAACCCAACCCACAUAAAUAAUAAUAAUAAUAAUAAUAUAAUUCUCAAUUUGAAAAAUCUUAAAAAUCUGAACGGCUAAUCUAGUUUUUAUCCUCUUUUUAUUCUUUUAUAAAAGAGACUAUUUUGUUCUUACAUUUACUAUAAACUCUAAUAUCAAAACUAAAAUUACUCUUUUAAAUCUCAAUUCUCAGUCAACUAAGGUAUUUCUCUGAUUUAUUCAUUUUAUAUCCUUUAUUUUUUUUUUUUCGAAUACUAGACAAUGAAUAGAAUUUUCAUGCUAUAAUAUAUUUAUAUUGAAUUUUAAUAAGUUUUAUUACAAGUUUCAUGUCUUAUUAUUUAUUUAAUUUUUAAUUUUGAUUCAAUCUUCAAAUUUUCAAUCCAAUCAACCCACCCCGAUAAUUUAAGGGUUAGGUUGGAUUGAGUUAAAUAUGUUUAUUUAAUUGGAUUGAAUUGUUUUUAUUUCAACCAUUUAAUAAUGGGGUGAGUUAGGUUUUCACAAACACUAUCCAACCCAACCCAUACCCACCCAUAAUUAACAGGGUUAAGAGUUAAUUAAAAGAAUAUUUAUAUUUGAACCAAACUAUAAGAUAAUUAUAAAAUUAGAUGGUGUUAUAAUGAUAAGUAAAAAAUUAGUAUUAUUUUCAAUUAAAAUUAUAACACCUUACGGUUUUAUGAAUAUUUUUAUCACCGUUGUAUCACCAUCAGGACUCUUUAUUAUUUUUAGACAGCAGGCAUAAAUUUAUAGCAUAAAAAUUGAUAACAAUAAGCUUACAAAACCACUAGAGAGUAAACAAAAUAGAUAACACUCUCUCUAUUUCUUUCAGGUCAAAUUGAGACAUAACAGAAUCAAGUCCAUAACAGGGUGAGAAAAAUAACUACAGACUUUCAUUAUUAUUAUUAAAAUUUAUUUCUUUUAUUAUUUUAAUUGUUAUUAUACUGUAAUUAAUUCAUUAAUAUUAAUAUUUAUCUUGUUAUUAUUAAAAUUAUUUUUAUUAAAAUAUAUUAACUUUAUUAUUUUAAUUAUUAUUAAUUAUUGUUGUUAUUACUAUUAUUAUUAAAACUUAUUAAUAAUUUUUAUUAUUAUCAUUAUUAAUAUUAUUAUUUCAGUUAAUUUUGUUGUUAUUAUUGUUAUUGUUAAAUUUUUUAAUUUUUUGUUUUAAUUAACAUUAUUGUCAUAAUUAUUAUUUUUAGUUUUAUUAUUAUUAUUGUUUAAUUAUAAUAUAUACAAAUAAUAUUAGGGACACAAUUAACAAAUGGCAUUUUAAUAACUUAUAAUAGUCUAUUCCAAUUAUAAAAUAAAGUAAACACAUAAAUGAGAAUGUUGUUCAUUCCGAUUCCUAUUCCUAUAGCUCAAGUAAAUAAUUCAAAUAUCAAUCAAAUAUAUAUAUAUACUCAAACUUAUGCAAACUUCAGCCAAAUUCAGACUCAUUCAGAUUUCAGACAAAAAAAAUAAAUAAAUGUUACCUUAUUCUCAGGAUCAAAUUUUAAAUUUUUUUUUCAUAUUUUUCAACUGCUGUACCGUACAUCCGCCUUGGCCGUACAGCAGAAUUAAUAUAAAAAUAAUUAUUAAUAAAUUUAAAUAAUGAGAGUAGAUCUAGAAAUGAUAGUAAUAAUUAAUAAAUUACGAAAUAUUUAUGAAUUUGUGGAAUAAAUAAACGAGUAUUAAACCGUGCAUUGUAAUUGCCUAAUAUCAAUAAUAAAAGUCCUCUUAAAUUUCAUACUUAUUCCUUAUUCAUAUCAUUUAACAACUAAUCUAAUAAAUAAAAUAAUUAUUAUUAUAUUUUUUCCUGGCAUUUCAAAACAUAAGAGGGAUUGCAAUGAAAAAAACCAAAAUAAAUACACCCUGCCGUUGGAUUUGCUUUUACCAUUCUUGCCCUUGGAUCCAAUGGUUAAAUUACAAAAUGACAAAAGUAGUGGUAUGUUGCAACUGUUGCAACAUAGGCGGCUCCUAUUUUUAGUAUCAUGUGUCAGUUGUUUUUAAAAUAUAUGCGUAAAUAUCUGCACAUUUUUAAUUUGUAACAAACAAGAAGUUCCAGCCACCGGGUUCCCUUUUACUCUCGAGUCAUUAACUAUUGCCACUUGAUAUUGAGAAAUUCGGUGUAAAAUUGAAAAACUAAAAACGAAAAAUCAACUGAACGGAAAAUAAGAAAAUUGUUUCAUAAAUAUGUACAGUAGACGGGGGGGGGAUAUUGCCACGUCAGCCGUAGAGGGUGGCCGCAGCUUCCCGGGCCGCGUUCCAUUUCUGCAGCCUCAGCUGCUGGUAAAACUUCUUAAUGAACUCCUCAGCCUCCUUGUCCACGUGGCAGUCCUUGUCAUCAUCCCUCAACGGGAACGGCGAGUCCGUUACCCUCACCCCACGCCUCACUGGACCCACCAACGGCGACGCCUCUGCCACGUCGACAUCCGACGCGGCCACGUCAUCAUCCUCACGGUAACAGCCGGCCACUGCAGCAGAAGCAGCCUGGCGUUUGUUGUCCUUAGCGUGGUGAAGGAUUUUGCGCCUGCUGACGUGGAGGCUGGGGAUGACGUACGGUUGAUAAGCCGGACUGUUACUGCAGCUAAACUCGUACUCUCGAGGACAGACGAAAGAGGCGUGCAUGUCAUGUGACCGGCAAGUGAUGGCGCCGUAGUCGUAGAGCACGGCGUCGUUUAGAGCCUUCCCUAUGAACUUGCUCUUGGUGAUACCCUUCUGUAUCAUGAACAAAAUUACACGUACCAUUCUGCCUAGCUUCUUUGCUAUCACCGGCGGCCUCGCCUCCAUUAUUUUUAUUUAUAAGUUAUAGAAUAAAGUUAUUGUGUGAGCUUAAAGGGAAGAGGAAGAGAGGUAUUUAAAGAGCCGAAAGAGCAGACUGACCACAUAAACAAUAUUUUUUAUUUUGUGUUGUAAUAAUAACAAAUUAUUUUUACUCAUUGUUUUGUUUUGCGCUGUCUGUUUUUUGUUUGAUAUUUUAAUUUGUUAGUUCAUUUCUUUAAUUCCCAGUGUGAGUUUCAAGUUAGUUGCAAACAAGUGUUUUUAAUUUAGUGUCUAAGUAUUAAUUAAUUAAUUAAUUGGUGUAGGGUCUUGAUUUUGAUUGAGUUGACAAAUUUCGGAAUAUUGAUUAUAUUAUCAUCAUGCUUAUCGCAUUCAUUAAUGAGAGAUCAAAACGAUAAUCCAAUCCAAUUCUGGUGGGAAUUUCGGUUUGACUAUUGCAAUUAAAACUUGGCAUUGGUAAUCGAUAGUACAUAAAAAAUAUAUAUACAAAAGGAAAAAUAAUCAAAUUUUGAAGAGAAUUGUCAAGUAGACCCUAAUCUUAUAAUUAAGAAUGGACAAAAUAAAUAUCUUCCUUACUUUGAACCGUUUGAAUUAUUAUUGUGUGUGCGGUUCUUUCAUCUCUUCUUUUUGUGAAACCAACCUCUCUAUCAGACAAAAGAAAAAAAACAAAGAAAAGAAAAGUCUUAACGGUAUAUUUGAUAUCCCAAAAGCGAUGGGAAAAAAAAAACAAGGAAAAGAAUUAUGCGCGUCAAUUCUUAAAAUGUUAAGUGUCAUCUAAGUAAAGUUAAUUGAAAAAAGUGAAAGUAUGGUAUAAUAUUAGGAGAUGAUUAUAUCUUAAUACAUAAGUUAUUGACCAUGAAUAAUGUGACUCAAAGGUAGGGAUGACAAUGGGGUGGGGGUGGGGAGACCUAUCUCAUUCUCCACCCCAUUAAAAAAUUCACCUUCAUUUUCCAUUUCAUUCCCCAAUAAAUUUAUGCUGUGUUUAUUUUAUGGAGUGUGAGUGUGGAGUGUGGAUUCCUCCAACUCCAGUGUUUACUUACAAUUUUUAAGAGGGGAGUGGGAUUCCCACUCCGUGGAUCCCACCUAAUUUUGGAGUGGGGAGUGGGAUUCCCACUCCCAUGGGGGGAGGUGGGAGUGGGAAUCCACUCCCCCCCUCUUUCCUUUUUACCCUCAUAAUUAAAAUAAAUAAAUAAUAUUUAAUAAAAUAAAUAAUAUCAUAUUUAUUAAAAAUAAUAAUUAUAAACAUAUUUAUUUUAUUAAAUUUAAUAAAAUAAAAAUAAAUAAAUAUUCUGCUGUACCGUACAUCCGCCUUGGCCGUACAGCAGGUAAAAUUGAAAAACUAAAAANNNNNNNNNNNNNNNNNNNNNNNNNNNNNNNNNNNNNNNNNNNNNNNNNNNNNNNNNNNNNNNNNNNNNNNNNNNNNNNNNNNNNNNNNNNNNNNNNNNNNNNNNNNNNNNNNNNNNNNNNNNNNNNNNNNNNNNNNNNNNNNNNNNNNNNNNNNNNNNNNNNNNNNNNNNNNNNNNNNNNNNNNNNNNNNNNNNNNNUACGGUACAGCAGUAAUUUUUUAAUUAUAAAUUAUAAUUCUUUAAAUAAGGGUAAAAUUAUAAUUUAAAAUUAUUUACUCUCAAUCCAAGAUAAUGUAAACACAUGAAUUGGAUUCUGGUUUCAAUUUCAUUCUCUCAUUCCAAUGUAAGUAAACAACCUACUCUCACUCCCACACUACACUCCUAAUCCUAGGAUUCCCACUCCUCAAGAUUCAUACUCCAGUCCAAAAUGUAAACGCUACCUAAUCCUAGUGGGGUGGGAAUGGGGAAUCUCUACACGGGGAAUGAUUUCCUCAUCCUCACUCCAUUCCUCAUUUAUUUUUUUUAUAAUAGAUACAGAUACGUAAUUUCAAUAAAUUAAAAAUUAAAGACUUAAAUAAAAUCAUUAUCAUAUUAUAAAGUAUUUAAAUUAUUUUUUAAAAAUUUCCAAAUGUUUGAAAUAAUAUCUUGAAAUGAUAUCAAAAUUGAAAAAUGUUUUAAGAUAGCAAUAUUUUAGGAGAGAAAAGAAAAUAUAAAAAUGUUUUAGGUUGAAUAAAAAUUAUAUUAUAAGGUUUUCUUUUAAUUAUAGUCCAUUUAUGUUAAGUAAAAAUAAAAAGAAAAUUAAUUAACUAACAUUGUAAUUGAUAAAAUAAAAGUUAGAAAAAUAUUUAUAUAUAAUGGGGAUUGGGGUGGGGAGUACAAAACCAAACCACACCCCAUUAAGAAUUUGAGAAUUAUUUUUCCCCCAUUCCCCACUCUAUUCCCCACAAAUUAUUCAAAAUCCACUCCAUUUGGGGUGAAGCCCUAAACCCAUGAAAGAUUUUGUCAUCCUUACUCAAAGGCAGUGGGCUUUACUUCAACAGAAGAGCAACUGAAAUUUUUGACAAACAUAAAUGAUUCUGUCAAUUUUUUUUUUUUUUGCGAGAAAAAUGAUUUUGUUACGGUGCUUUGUAAAGCUUCGAGGUUUCUAGUUUUAAGCCAAGCUUGAUCAGGUUGGUAGGAAUUAGGUCUAACAAUAGGUCGUGUUGAGCAGUAUCGUAUUAAAUUAUAUAUUUGAACUCAUCUAUUAAUUUAUUUGAGUCAAAAAAAUAUAAAUUUGAAUCCAUUCGUUAGUAUUAUUGUGAUAUCCAAAUUGACCCAUUUAACUCCCUCUUUUUAAUAAAUUUAAAAUAAUUGUUCGAUAUUCUGUCAUAUAUUUUUAAUUUAAAACACAAAUACUAAUUUUCAAAAUAGGCUCUUUAAAAAUAUAAUAACAAAUAGAAGAAAACCUUAAUAUUUAUCAUAUAAUAAAAUAAUUGUUCGAUAUUCUGCCAUGGUGGCUUCUCUGACCGAAAAGGUGUGGGGGGGAGGGCCCAAUCAUGCGGUAUAGCACUUCCCAGCCGUUGAAGAAUUUGAUUUAGAUUUUUCACCCACCCAAAAGAGAAAGCAAGCAAACUUUUAACUUAUGAUAAACGAUAUUAAUGUAAUGAUUAGAGAAAUCUAAAGAGAGAAACUGAUAAUUUAUUGAGUGAUCGUGAAGUUAAUUAGGUAGAGAUCUUUCUUAAGCUUUACGUUACACUAUCCAUUUGAUUUAAGGGGGAAAAAAAAACCCUGCAAGCUUUGAAUAGUUUAUUCAAUUAUUUGAUCUGUCCAUGAUUAAUGCAGAAACUAGAGUAGUCUACGCAGUGGUUUCAAGCCUAAUGAUAAAAAGUAAAACUAAUCAAUUGCAAAAAAAAAAAAAAAAAACAAAUAGUGCUGUAAAAACUACAAGUUAAAAUUUUAACUAGUCAGUUAAUUAGGGUCCAUUUUCAGAAUUUUACACAAUGAUCAUUUCAGGGACGAUGUAGUUGAAUGACAGGGAAUGGAGCGAUCAUAUCAACUGUGUUGUAUUGUGUAGUUGGCACUUGGCAAUGGGAGUUGUUGUGCCAUUCCAUUCUCUCAGUCCUAUCGCCAUUUAUUUUGCAAAAGGAGUUAAAAGACAACGGACCAUGAAAUUAAUUUCUAAUUUAUAGUUGGUUGGGAAAUAUAGUGAUGACUAUUUAUCCAUAAACUCAACUUCCAACAGAAAUUUUGUGGGUAACAAAUGUCUUCUGAGAGGCUCAUUAAUGUAAUUGGUAUAAAUGGAGGUAGCGUUUCUGAUAAUAACGAUAAUAUUCGAUUGACUUCUGAGGAAUUAAUAUGAGACUGUACCUAAUUAAUCAAGGAAGGUAAUCAAGGAAGUUCAAGCCUUCAAGCAUUGUUUACUUUUGAUAACUAAUUAGUUAUGUGGUCUUUCUCUACUAUCACUAAAUAGAUGACAUGAAUAUGCAAAUGACAUUACAAAAUCAAACCAAGAAUAUAUAUAUAUAUAUAUAUAUUAGUAUGCAUCCUCACUUUAAUAAAGUGAGGGUACCUAAGAGAAGAGUUCUAUAUAUAAUCAUUUUCUAGUGAGGACAACUUCAUUUUAUUAAAGUAAGGGUAUCACUAAAAUAUAAGAAAAUACAUAUUUCAGUACAUUGAAAACUGUAUUUUUUUUUAACUGUUUGUAUAUUGAAAUUUGUGUGUUUUUUUUACUAGCAUAUUCACUUUAACAAAGAGAAGAUUAACUUACUAGAGAAUGACAUAUAUAUAUAUGUAUAUAUGUAUAUAUAUGUAUAUAUGUAUAUAUAUGUAUAUAUGUAUAUAUAUGUAUAUAUGUAUAUAUAUGUAUAUAUGUAUAUAUAUGUAUAUAUGUAUAUAUAUGUAUAUAUGUAUAUAUAUGUAUAUAUGUAUAUAUAUGUAUAUAUGUAUAUAUAUGUAUAUAUGUAUAUAUAUGUAUAUAUGUAUAUAUAUGUAUAUAUGUAUAUAUAUGUAUAUAUGUAUAUAUAUGUAUAUAUGUAUAUAUAUGUAUAUAUGUAUAUAUAUGUAUAUAUGUAUAUAUAUGUAUAUAUGUAUAUAUAUGUAUAUAUGUAUAUAUAUGUAUAUAUGUAUAUAUAUGUAUAUAUGUAUAUAUAUGUAUAUAUGUAUAUAUAUGUAUAUAUGUAUAUAUAUGUAUAUAUGUAUAUAUAUGUAUAUAUAUGUAUAUAUAUAUGUAUAUAUGUAUAUAUAUAUAUGUAUGUAUGUAUGUAUGCAUGUAUUUAUUUAUUAGAAGAUACUCAUGAGCAAAUGUUUGUCCAAAUAAACAAUUAGACUCCUAUCAUUUGAGAAAUAAUAAGUUAGUCACUACACCUUUAGAAAUAAAUAUGUAGAUCAUCUUAAUAUCUAUGAAUCACGUCUAUUUCAAUAGAGAAAUUAAGGCUUUAUAGUAGGUUAAUCUUGGUGAACAUUAUAGUACUUUAAUGUUCUUUUUUUUUUCUAAUUAGUAUAUUGAUACUCUUAUCUUUAUCUACAAAAGGACAAAAUUCACUAGUUUAAUUAGAUACCCAUACUCUUAUCUUUGGGUGUUUGAAAAUUGAAAUAAAAAUAUCUUUUUUUUCCUCUCUUCCAAAAGAGAUAACUUAGAGUAUUACCAAAAGACGUCUAAUUUUAUUUUCAAAUACUUACAAAUGUGGCAAAUGGAAGAGUAAAUAAAAAGAAAAAAUGAUAAUUAUCCAUAUUCUUUAGAAAAAUUGAACGAAACUCCUCUCAUGUUUUAAAAUAGGUCUAAUUAAACUUCCCUGCAAUUAAAAAGGUGCUAACUUUUUAUAUCAUUGUAUUAUCCUACCUUGGUCUUGAAGUUAGCCAUAUAAUUUAAAUAUUUUAAAAAUGUAAAUCAAGCAAAAUGAUAUAUACCCUUAAUGAUUAAAUUAAUUUAAUAAUAAAUUAUAAAUUAUGGAGAAAAAUUAGCUGACAUAAUGUCGGAUACGAAGUUAAUAGUCAAUGCAACAAUGAAGUUACUACCCACUUCAACAAGAAAGCCAUAAUUUUUUGGAACCAUUUAAUUAUCUUUUUGAAAUAUUCUAACAUAUAUAUUGCAAUGGACACAUACAGCCAAACGUUAUUUGAUUUUUAUAUAUGAAAAUAUUUUAUUUACCUUCCCUUUACGUAGUAUUAUAAUUUAUGAGGGAACUCCAGUGGUCACAUAUGGCCAAUUGUAAUUUUAAUUUAAAUGAAUACUUUGUACAAUUAUUAUGGGUGCUUAUGACAUUUUCCCUAACUACUUAAUCAUAGUCAGUAAAUUUAACUACUGUACAAAUUUAACUACUCAAUCUUUUCUCACCAAAUUUAACUUCUCUAUAACGUUCAAUAGUAUACUUAUAUACUUGUUUCUUUUCAAUAAUAAUAAUAAUAUAAAAUAUAAUAUAAUAUAAUUUGAAGAAGGAGAGAGUUGAGCAUAAUCUUAUUUAAUUUUUUUUUGAAAUUAUUAUUACUGAUAUGAUUCUUUAAAUGUGAAGUAAUAUCUUAUUUAAAUAGAUUUUUUAAAUGUUGUUGUAUUCAUCCUUAGUCAAAAAUGAAACUUCUUGGGAAUGAUCUCAUUAAUGUGCAACAUGAUUAAUCCCAAAAAUAGACUACUUGACAUGGGGAUUGAAAACGAUGUAUAUGGCGAGCAACACUUGCGAUUUUAUCUGGAUUUUGGGUGACGGACUCCUAUACACGAUUUGGACUACUGUAUUAUUUAAUUAGAAUAAUUUAUUAAUUAAGUCCACUGACACUAAUUAAUAAUGAUUCAACUUGCAUGCAAGACCAACUGUAUAUUGUUUCAUAAUCGAACCAGUAGAGGUCAUGGUGACAGUACAACCAAAACAUUUUAAUUUUGCAUUGGAAAUCCACUGGAAGAAAUUGGUGUUGCCGGCAAAGUUUAUGUACAUAGCGUAGAGAGAGAAAUUACUUUAUCAGAAGAGUAAUAUCCGAAUACUUAACUUUUAAUUUGAGUCAUAAUUAAUUCGAUAUUAUUUAUUGAAUAAUAAUUAAAUAAUUUUAUUAAUUAUAAAUUUCAUUAUUCAAUUAAUUGAUAACAUAUGAUAUUUUGACUAAAAUUAAGAUUUAAACAUCGGAAUGUCUAAAAUUAUCAUUAUCCAAAUUGAGCAAAUUCAUCAUUGACAAGUAAAUGACCAAAAUUAAUAUGCAAUGACCACAGUAUUUCCAAACUUAUUUGUUAUGAUGUUAAUAGUUUUGCAUUAAAAAUUUGUUUUAUUAUAUUAUAAGGAUCAAAUCUCACUUGCAUUUUCAAUUGAAGAUUGAUUUAAUUGUUAAUUGGACAAUAUAAUAACGCAGUGAGGUUUAUAAAAUGCAUGUCACAUGAAUCAGCAGAGAUCAUUUUUUCUUUUUGAAUUUUACUUUCAUGAUUUUGAAAGAUUCGAACCUCCACCUCAUUAAUAAAAGGAAAGGGUGCCAACCUAAUUCAAUCGAAGAGUUGUUGGCUAAAUAUUGAAGUUUUAAACUGACGAAUCAUAUGCACUCAUCAUAUUGACUCUCUCACGUAUUGCCGCAAUUGCAUAAAUUUAUCCAAUAGCAUAAGACAUCAAUAAUGACAAGUAUUAACAUAAAUUCCAAAUGAGGCGAUUCAUCAAUUAUUUAAUGGAAUCAAUGGAGCAAUUUUACAAAUUAUGAUAUUAACUAUUUUUUUUUAUAUUAGAAUUAAAAAUUUCCGUUGAGUUUUAAGGAUAAACACAGUGAUAAAAGGAAUUAAAGACGUAAAGACUCCAUAUUCUUUUUUUCAAGUUCAAGUUUCAGACUUAUGAGUAAUUAAUUCAGUAGAAGCAAUAAUUUCUGUUGAGUUUAAAGGAUAAACAAAGUGAUUCAAGGAAUUAAAGAUUUAAGACUCCAUGUUCUUUUCAAAGUUCCAAGUUUCAGACCCAUGAAUAAUUAAUUCAGUAGAGGCAAUAAGGAAACUUGGAAUUUAGUCUCAUUACCAGCACAAGCAAAAAUUUCAAGUCAGAAAAUUGCAUGAUCCCAUCCGAAUCUGCAUAAACAUAAAGGCGUUAAAAGCAUCAAGGUGCUCAAGAAGAGUAAUAGAUUGACAAAACUACAAUCGUUUAUCAGAUGAUGAGAAAAGCAAUCCAAAACUUAGCCCAAAUUUGUUACACUUAUCUGACUUAGCUUCUGGUAAUAAAUAUGCGGUUAGAGACUCCGAUAGAGGCACAUAUAGUUUCCUUAAUUUGUCAACUUAUAAUCUCCUAUGUCAAAUCUUAUUUCCUCCUCUGACUGAAACUCGCUUGCUCAUGUAGCUUACAGCAGAACCAUAUUGAAAAUGAAUACAAACGGGAUCAAAGAGCUUUAAUCUCUUGGGUACCAAGGUUGCAGCACCAUACUAUUCCACGACUGUCUUUCGCGAUAAGGUCCUCACUUUUCUAAAAUGCUUAUGGCCUUUGAAAACUGUCACAGGGUCUAAUCGUUAAUAUCUUUGUCCAAAUUCUAUUGGCAUCAAAUUCAUCCAGGACCCACAACUCCCAGGAUCUUCUUUCGGUGUUAUGCAAAAUGAAGGAAAGAGAAUCAUUAAACACCAUAAGCCUCGAAGUUGAUUGAACAAUCUUAGAGGAGAGAAUUGGCACCGGCAACUAUCGAAAGACCUCAUCACACAUGUCAAACGAAAGGAUGAAAUCCUCAGACUCAUUGGGAACAUAAGAUACCAUCCAAUAACAAGCUCCCCUGAAGUAUAAACGUUCGAAAUGCUUAUGAAACUUAGCCCCGCAUCCUAAAAAGUCAAUAUCGUUAACUACUACUUUCUAGUUUCUAGCUAUCUGUAUUCAAGGUGUGCACCUCGGCCUUGAUAGGAGGACAAGCAGGGUCAGCAUAAUCUGGGAUGAACAGUACGCAGACGACUUUGUAAUCAUUGGAUUUGGUAGCAUAACCACAGCCAAUACAAAUACGCAACCAUUAAAAAGGACAGUGUAGGGGUACAGUGAGUUCUCUGAAUUCCCUCAUAGCUGCGAAAGCUAAAAUGACUUCACCAGAAGGCAACGCGAGACAUGUAAUGCCGUGGCAAUGACCCACAAUUACUAGUUGAGGAAAUCUGGUGAUCUUAUAAAAAGUAAGAUCAAUGAUCUUUUCAACAACGGGAACAUGAUCUUGACCGUGUGAGAUUUCUUCUUUUGUUAUCAAAAGAAAGGAAGUACAGGACAACUUUAUCCACUCUAGGAACAGUAAAGCCGGGGCCGCAAGAGAAGAACACAAGCUGCUGAAACGUAUCUGGUUGCGGAGUUGCUUAAAUAUGAAACUUGAAUUUGCAAUGAGAGAAUACCAUGACCUUUGUAGACAUUCGGAAUGCAACAGUGAGACUACAGGUUGCAAGGCACGAAUCUCCGCCAGCAAAUCUUCAGGUAGAUUAUUGCUAAACCUUUUGAUUGACUUCUUCUUCUUCACUGUAAAAAUACAAGCCAUUUAUUGAAAAAUUCAGUAAUAAAUAAAGUACAGAUUUAAGAUUUGGUUUCUCACAUUGAUAAUUGUCUUGAAUUCAAGGUAAGAAGAUGGAAUAUGAUUUUCUCCAAAUUAGAUGAAACUGAUUUGACUGUAGUCUAUAGAUAUUGUAUAUGUAUGCUAUUUUAAUUUGUUUUAGAGUACUGCGCAUGUGUAUGAUAUCGAUAAUGCAAUUGGGAGUUCGUUUGUAUUAUCAUGUUUUGUUGUGGGUACUUGAAAUUGGAUGAACACACUUGGCCUAAUUUUAUUAAGUAUUAGGACUGGGAGAAAUAAAUGAAUACAGGGGACUUGAUUUGUUGAUUACAAAUUAUAUGUAUAUUGAUCGGAGGUGGAGGUUUCCCCUGAUCGAAGUAAACCCAAAAGUUUUAUAGUUUCGUUACUCCGAAGUAAAAGUUCUAGGAUGUCACAGUUAUUUCAUAUACAUAUACGACAUGUCAUUUGUAUCUGAAGUUGUAAAGCACGUCAUGCAUGAAACAUAUAUGUUGAUGCGAGAUUCUGGUUCUUCUCGUUCUACGACCAGGGUCUCUGCUCGAUCAACUUCACCACGACCAGGAUCUCUCCUCGUAAAGCUUCUUCUCCAGAGGUUCCCGCGCACACAGACAGGUCAGAGUACGCCGGUUGUUUUCCCGGCGCAAACCCUCCGACGCUCAAGUCAGAUAUGAAGGUUCGGGGAACGCUUGCCACAAAUCUUAUGGCUGUUAGGUUGUCUUCUCUCUUUUAGAAUCAAAAUUGCUAACCCUUUUACUUUCGUUGAUGCCACAAAUCUUAUGGUUGUUAGGUUGUUUUCUCUCUUUUAGAAUCAAAAUUGCUAACCAUUUUACCUUCGUUGGCUACCUUUUCAUAGGCUUCCUCUGAAUCCCAGUUUUCCGCAGUCUACGUCUGUUAUCCUCCCACCUCUCGAAUGUGGAUUCCCCAUUUCUGUAGUCAUGGGUGGUUGCGUGGCCUUCGUGCCUAGAUUCUCGGGCUGGAGAGCAUGCCUCGCCAACUGUCGUUGACCGGGUCUCCUCGAAUCAACCCUUAGCAGGAAUACAGCAGGAAUGGCUUUAUGCUUCUUACAGGAGAUUGGACUCGCGGCUGACGUGCUCGUGGAUGAGCAGGGUAUUUCUGCUCCUGCUCCCCAGGAUACCAGGCUCUUACGGGACACACCGGUUCGCAGAACUCUGUCAUCAGAUAUCUGCUCAUCAUGCCUGGUCUCGUCGACGUAUUUCUCCCAAACAAUAUACAGUGCAGAUCACCAAUUAAAAAGAUUUUAAGAAAGAUUAUUUGAAGAAAGAUUAUCUACCUAAGAUGCGUGUUUGUUUUUUUAUAUAAUUAAUGGCUUAAAGUAAUUUAAUUAAUUAAGUCAAUUAGAAGACGGUCUUUGAUGUUCUUGGAGCACUGCAUCUUCUUUGUUUAGUGUUUGUCACAUGGGCAUAUUAUCAUAAUUGGUUUGAUCAUACACGUGGUAAAACACUGAAUGAAAAAGGAGUACUUUAGAAGCACCUAAGACUUUUCCAUCAAUUAGAGCUGUUUGUUUUUAUAAUUUAUGAGAAUAAAAUAAGAUAAUUUUUUUUAGUUUUUUAUUGAAUGUAAAAAUAUGAAUAAGCCAACUAGAUUCUAAUAUAAAAAAAUAUCCCUAAUUUAUUAUUUGUUUUCCAUGUCUGUCCUAAAAAUCACACAUGUCUACUCAACUAAUAUAAACUCAUAUUGUGCUUCUUCUUUUUUUCCCUGCCGACAUCCCUCCUCAUUUUGCUAAGUAGUUCAUUGAACAAGUUCUUAAAUUCCCAUGCAUUAUUAUCAUACUUAUUAAUCUUAAUUAAGCCUUUUAUGUGAUUUUAUAAUAUGUACUUAUAACUUGUUAUUUUUUUUAACUGGAUUGGGUUUUAAUUCAUGCUUAAGGUGUGAUUUUGUGUUUAGGCUUUUAAGGUUAGGAGAUGCUCUGUUAUUGUCCAAUUUAUAUUACUUCUGCUUACCGGUUUUAACAUUUAAAUUUAUUAAGGGUAUAAAUGUAAAAUUAUAGGGUUUAAGUUUUUAAAAUUUUUAAAAACAAUUUAAAACAAGAACUUAUUCUAAGAGAUUAAAAAAUAUAUAUAUAUGUCAUUUAGUUUUUUUUUUAAGUAGACUUAAGAAAAAACUAAAAACACCCAAAAAAAAUAGAAAAAAGAAGAAGAACAAAAGAAGUGUAAUUAAACACUAAUUAAGCUAUUCUGACCCCAAAAAAAGAAAAAAAAUACUAAUUAGGUUUUUUUUUUUUACUAAUGACUUGCAAGCGUACUGAUGUGAGAAUUCAGUGAGUCUUAGGAAGGCCGCAUCCGUUCACAGGUACAAGACCAUGGCUUCAAUGAGGUGUAAUUUUAAGCUUGAACAAUAGCAUCCUCCAUUGUUUUAGCCAUGCGCUGGAGACCCAAAUCAUAUUUUUGAAGCAAAUCAGCCAAUACCAACCCUUCCACAGGAUCAACGGUAAACGACCACUCAAUCACACACCCAGCACUUUGAUUUUGGCCAUCAUGAUUAUUAUCAUCUCCUGGAAUAAUCUUGAUCGUCGAAACAUAAGACUUGAACCCAAUAUUACCAUCAACCAUCUCAUAAAUCAAACAACGUUGGACAUGAUCAACGGUUACUAAUCUCUCUUUGGACCAGCUACAUGCAGCAGGAGGAGGAUUAUCAUCAGUACUGCUACUGGCUGCCCUGGACGGGAUCGAAAAGCCGGCACAGUAUCGGAUGCAGUCGGGCUCACCGUUGGUUCCGUGGACACCGUAGCUCGUGGCCAGGCUAUGAAAAUAUUUGUGUAUGUUAAAGAAGUCGGUAAAAAGAGGCCAUAUUUGGUCAGCAGUGGCUCUACUUACCCUUGUCGAAACCUUGCCUUCCCACUUUUGCUGCAAAUUUUGCUCCAUUCUGUAUGAAAUUAACGUAAAAUUAAAAAAAAAAAAUCAAUAUGAGGCAGAAAGAAAGAAAUGGAGGGUCACGUGGCAGGCUCAAUCUCAAAGGCCAAAGCUAAAAAGACAGAGGGAAAAAAAGGGUAUCCUCGCAUUAGAGGUGGUAAAAAUACCUGCUCGGUCCGGACUCGGACCGUACCCGGGCAUUGCGGAUCGGGUAAUACCCGGUUCGGGUAUGAAGCCGGGUUGAUCUUGGGCAUCACUUAAUAAACCCAGAAAUAUAUACACAUAAAUAUUAAAAAAUAUAAAAUCCGGGUAUCCAAAUUAAAACCCGACCCGAAUCCAGACCCAAACCGAUUGCAUCCGGGCAGGGUUCGGUCAUGGCAAUACCCGGACCCGGCCCGGGGUUUUGCCAUCUCCACCUCGCAUCGCAAGAAUCUGUCCACAAAAGUUACCAUGUGACAAUAAUAUUUAAUGUUCUAUUUUUGGAAGCAUUAUUAUCAAGUGUCUUAGACAGCUAGCUCCACAUACGAUUUGAUCGAGUCAUCAGCCGACAAGUCCUGCGCGCACCUGAUUACUUUUUAUAUAUAAAAAAUGCACGAUUAUAGCUGUUAAUGAUUAUUUCAUGUUAGUUAACUAGUGAAUUAUAUUUUAAUGGGCAGGAUUUGCUAUUUUAAAAAGGGUGAGGCUAUUCUAAAAUCUACCUGGCACUCAUCUAUUUUGCACACUCAAUUAAUAAUGAGUAAUAACAAAUAUUCUAAUUUUGUUAGAAUAGGACUAUUAGCACCAUGUAACUUUCUUUUCAAACAUCUUUUUUUAUCAAAAUCUACUUUAAUCCUCAAAAUAUCCUUUCCAUUUUUUACUUUUUAAUUCAAAAAGAAAAACAAUUCAAUUUCUUCCAAAUAAUUCUAAUUACAAAUAUUAUUUAUAUAUAUUUUUGAAUUAUUAAGUCAAACAUAUUUUACUAAAAAAAAUCAAAUACAUGUAUGAAUUAAGUAGAAUUAAAGUGGACUCAAAUAGCUAUUAUUUAUGUUUUUUAAAUUAAAAAUAAGUUUUGUAAAUUUCUCAAGAAAAAGUUGUUUGUGAGGAAACAAAAAUUGUAAGAGACUUUAGUGUAGUUGUAUGGGUGUAAAGUGUUGAAAAGAGAAAUAUAAUGGUAUAACUAAAUUUAUUUUGUCCUUUAAUGUAAUUGCAAUAAGAGAGGGGUUUUAUAAGGAUUAUAGAGAUGGGUGCCAAUAGUUCAACUCAAUUUUUUAUCCAAAAUUCCAUCUCAAAUGUUAUGUCAUUGAUUGAUUGAUUGAUAAUUCUUUACAAGAUCCAAGCGAAUUAUCCUCACUAAUUAAUUGAUGAAUACCACAUUAUUUGAGAUAAUUUUUUGAAAUAAAUAAUUUAGGAUGCGUAGCACUUCUCAGUAAUUAUUUCAAAAUAUUAGUUUUUAAUUAUAACACUCUUUCAAAUUCCUAUAUUGUCCUCAUUACACAUUAUUUAAUUACCUUAUUUUCUCGAUACACCCAAUAAAGUAUUCAUCAUUACAAAUAAAACAUAACUUUCUUAAAUUUUUAUUAACCUUUACUUUCGACUUGAAAAUGGAUUCAUUUUUUUCUUUUUUUUUUAAUGGGAAAAGGUAAAGGCCAUUGUAGCAUUCAAAUAGUCAUCUUUAACUUAAAACAAGUUUUUGAAUUAAAAAGGAAAAAAAAAAAAAAACAACUUAGGCUACAACAGAAUCUUCCAAUUUAAUGACCCAAGUUCAGGUGAACAAGACAAGCAAAGUAAUGCACCACUUCUUCUUCUCUGCACCUCCACUUGCCUUCAUCUGGCGGAGGCAUUAGACAUCUCCUCACACUUCGUCUUUGUCCCCUCGUGAGUGCUAAGCUUUCUCUUUGCAGCCUUCAGUGCCCUCUUGUCCUCGUCGACUUUAAGAAGCUCCGUGAUUGUUUUCUCAUAGGGUGUAAAGCCAGCAAAUUCCCUAAUCACAUUUCUCUCAAAGUGGACCCUUUUGCUUGUUUUCCCUUUGCGAUUUGCUGGGCGUGGUAGCAGUUCCUUCUUGGUCACAACAUGACCCUUGUUUAAUCCAACAAAUAGAUCAGUAUUUGGCAGUUUAGGGGCUAUCGCCUCCAAUGAAACUGAGAUGCUGUGGAGGUCUUGAUUCAAUUUUUCGUUAUUAAUGUGAUUUAUAGUAGAUAAAAUAUGACUAUUUAUUGGAUAAAAUUUAUUAAAUUGUUCUAAAUAACAAAUUACAUUAAGGUUAAUUUAGUAAUACAAAAUAUUAUUAAAUUGUGAAUGUCCAAAGUAAAUUUUAGAGUGUAAAUAGCCCAACUUUUUAAAUAAUUAACUUUUCAAAUUUCUUUUUAACAUUUUUUUUAUUUAAUAAAAAAUCUUUUUAGGCAUCUUCAUAUUCACAUGAUUAUUUUAAUUCAUGUACAACGAAUGACGUUUUAUGUCCGUAUAAUGAGAUAUGAGCAAAACCGUGAAGUGUAAUAUAAUGUAUAUGAAAUGAUAUUAAUUUGAAAAUUGAAAAAUUAACUUGUCGUGUGGACCUUCACAUUUAAACAUUUUCAUAAGCAUUUGCAUAUAAAUAAAAUAAAUACUUUAGAAAUUAAUCCUAACAUAUCAAGUGAGCCUAGUUGCUUAGAAUAGUUAUAGAGUUUAAAAUGUACCAAAUAUGGGAUAAGAUAAGAUUUCUUUUUUUAAUAUUAUAUAUAAUAUAAUGCCAAUCUAACAUAUUAAAGUUAAACCUAAUGAAAUAAACUCCCACCCAGUUGCCAUAAAAAUACACGAGGACGUUUUGACAAAUUAAUGUAGAAAGAAAGAAGAAAAAAUUAAAUACCAUUGAAAUUGGGUUUCCAUCUCGCGAGAAUUGAAAAUAAUGUUUUAUUUACUUGAGAAUAAGCUUUUGUAAGAUGUUUAAACUAUAUUCUGAUUUUUUUUUUCUGAUAUACUAUAUUCUGAUGUUUAAACUCUCUAAUUUGAAUGAUCAAAGAUGAGAAAUGGUAUCGCUUUGGUAGGUACAUUUGUUUUUUUCCCUUUUCCUUUAAAAAAUUAAUUGUUUUAACUGAUUAGAUGAGUGACUAAAUUAGAGAGCCGUCUAUGUUUAUUUGGUGAAAUCUUUAUUGGAUCAAUGCAUGUAAAGAGUUAUACAAAAAAAUGAUAUUUUAUGACAAAAAAUUAGUCACUAAGGAUAACAAAUUAGUCACCUUAUAUCUUUUAUGAUAAAAAAUAAAUUGUCACACGUUAGUCGUAGAAAGACCGUCUUAAAAAGUUCUAGCGACCAAAAUUAUUUUCAUCAUGUUAAAAAUAUGUUUUUGUGACAACAAUCAUUGUCUUAAAAUUAAGUUAAAAUUGUCACAAAUGAUAUUCAAAAUGGUCAAAUUAGAUAUCAAAAAAUGUAAUCGAUGACACCUCACGUUUGUCACAAUAAGUGAUUUAUAAUGACUAUAAUAUUGUCUCAAUACGUAGUUUAUUGUGUUAUAAUAUUUGUCUCAAUAUGUGAUUUAUAAUAAUUAUAAUAUUUGUCUCAAGAAUGUGAAAAUAUAGCCUCAAUAAUUACUAAAAAUCGUCAUUUUAGAGAUUUGAAGAUACAAUUAGUGACAAUAUUUUUUUGUUGUUGAAGUUUACAUAUCGCGACGUUAUAUAAUCGUCUUAAAUAGUUGUGAUUUUUAUGAACUAAUUGAAAUAGAGAGCGAUUUUCUUAUGAUUGCAAUGUGUGCACCUUGUGUCACAUGCAUCAACAAUUAUGCUGGUUUAUAAUGUAUAUUUGUUUGUGGGUGCGACCUACCAAACAUGGAAAAUGACAAUCUUUUUUUUUUUUUUUUACCGUCGUACAUAUGUUCUUCUUGAUGGUGUCUCACACACUAAGGGCUCUAUUAAAGACCCUAAAGUAGUUGAGAGAUAUAUCAGUCUGAGUAAUGGAUCUCAACCUCAACCAUCAGAGACUAUAAAGAAUAUGAAUCCGAAAGUGGUUAUGGAGGAGGCUAGCGACAAAAAGAAAGUGGAUUAGGUGGAAUAUGUGCUAAUCUUAUCUUCUUUUGUAAUUAAUCAUCUGCUCAACUCAAACAAAAGAUUUGAGUAUGGAUUUUAGAUUAGUGUUGUAGAUGUUCGUUGCAGUUUGUUGCAGUAAAUGCGAAAACAAGAUAUAAGUACUGAUAACUCUACAAAAUGAGAGUUAUCAUGACACUUUUAGACUUGAAUCAAUAAUACUUACAGAGUAAAUGAUAUGUUUUUAUUGCAUUUUAAUUAUAUUUUGCAUGCACAUCCAUUUUAGUUUAUUUUUAAUAAAUUUAGUUUGUUUUAGAUUAAUUUGUGCUUAAAUCAUAUGCAUAAUUAUAGGUGACCGAAAGCUUAAAUUUUAAGUAACAUGCAGUAGUCGUUGCUGUAGCACCAUUGUUGUAGCACUGUUGCUGUAGCAAUCCUAGAGCAUUGACAGAGAAGAUUUCACGUGAGAUACUUAGAGAAUUGCAAUAUGGAGUUUCCAAAGAUGGAAGAUACGCUCCUUAGACUUUCGGUUGUCCUAAUUCUAAGCUAUAAAAGGAGCAUACACACAAAGAGAAAGAGAGAGUCGUCACCCAAGGAAUAAACCAAAGAGAGAAACAUAAGAAAAAUAGAAAUCAAAAGGGAGAUUAAAGGCUGACAGAGAAAAAAUCGUAGAGAUCAAUUGAGAAUCAAUUUUUCUUAUUCUUUUCUUGUUUUUUAUAUAUUCAUGGGGAUGUAUUGGAUUGCUAAAACUCUUUUAUUUAUUUUUUUAUCGUAAAUCAUGAACUGAAUUUGAUUGUAACUGAGUAAUAAACGAUCUUAAUGGAUGUUUGACUAAUAUACGCGUGUUGUUCUAUGUUUACUAUAACAUUUUGUCUUAAUUGUAUUUAUUUAUUCUCUAUUUCGGAUGAUCCCCUAUUUAGGGAUAUUAGUUAAGAAAAAGCCUAAAAAAGGUCUGAUUUAGUGGAUCUUAUUAAAACAAUACUUGGUUUUAGAUUGGGUUUCCGAAGUUGAGUUAAUUUUAAUUUGAAUAGGGUCGUGCUUGAUAUAAAAUUAAUAAUGAACUAGAUAUAGAGAUUUACCUUGUAGGGUAAAUGGAACCUAGAGCGAUUAAUGAUAUCUUUAAUGUUGGCGUAACAAUUGGUUACUAUUAGGUUGCAUUUGGUAUAAGAUAUCCAACAAACGACAGUUGAGGAUGCGUGAAGGAUUCUAUCCAGUGCUGUAGUAGAUACUGUAGCAACGGUACUGUAGUUGAAAAAUAGUCAAUGCCAUUAAGUGAGUUUAUUCACUCAACUACUCGAUUCUCAUUCGUUACAUCCUUGUGUUGACAUGAAAAUUUUCUUUAUUUCAUUUUAUUUAUUGCACUUUUAUUUUAAUUAGUUAGGUUCAUAAAUUGUCUUAUUUUGAUAUAAAAUUAAUGAUGAACUAGAUAUAGAGAUUUACCUUGUAGGGUAAAUGGAACCUAGAGCGAUUAAUGAUAUCUUUAAUGUUGGCGUAACAAUUGGUCACUAUUAGGUUGCAUUAGGUAUAAGAUAUCCAACAAACGACAGUUGAGGAUGCGUGAGGGAUUCUAUCUAGUGCUGUAGUAGAUACUGUAGCAACGGUACUGUAAUUGAAAAAUAGUCAAUGCCAUUAAGUGAGUUUAUUCACUCAACUACUCAAUUCUCAUUCGUUACAUCCUUGUGUUGACAUGAAAAUUUUCUUUAUUUCAUUUUCUUUAUUGCACUUUUAUUUUAAUUAGUUAGUUUCAUAAAUUGUCUUAUUUUAGAUUAAAGUAAGACUGCAUUAUUAAGGUUACUGUACCAAAUAUGAUAACAUCAAUCACUAUGAAGACGAUCUGAAUACUUAUCAGUAUAUUACUUGUUGUGCACACUUGCAUAUUGACACCCAUAACAUUAGAGAUUGCACACACUAAGUACAUUUAAAAAUACUAAUAUGGACCUUUUUCUUGGCAGGAUUAGACUAGGUUGGACUACCUGUGUGUUUUUUUUAAGCUGUUAAUUAUUCACACCCUUGCUUUUAUUUCACCUUUCAAUUGAUCAGUUUUGGGUAUUGAUGUUCUUAUUAUUUUCUUACAUUUUUUAUUACAUGAUUGCAGGCAAGAGGAAAUUGCCAAGUUCAUAAAGGUUCAAGACAAAGAAAUAGAAAACUCUCAUGCUACAAGGGACAUGCUGAUAAAAGUGCAUGCAGAGAGGAUAUAUGCAAGAGGCGGAAGGCAUUGAGAGAAAAAGGUUGAAUAUGAGAAAGAAUUUGAUGUUGAGUUAACUCAAAACUGAUGGAGAAAUACUCCUCCCAUGGCACAAAAGUUGCCACUGACAGCGUUUGAUGUUGAGAUGCACAGAUGAUAGGAAAAUAAUAUACUAACUAGAUGAGUAGCAAAUAAUUUAAUAAUACCAUUAUGAUGAUGUUUUUUCUUGUGAUAUAUUCUUUGAAUUACAAACUUUGAGAGGUAUAUGCAUUUAAAUAUAGCAAUAAGCAAAUUUGGACUUUGUCAUUUAAUUUCAUGAAACUUUUUAAAAUUAUUCAAAAUAUAGCAAAGUCAGUUGUUGUAAGCUUUAUAUGUCAGCUCAUUUUCUUCGUAUAUCUACUUGAUAAAGAUUCUUGGAUGGUUGUUACAUUAAAUUUUGGGAAGGUAGGAAAAACUAUAGACACAAAGGUAUAUUUUGUCUUUAAAAUCUUAGACCAUUUGUAUAUUAUUGUGUUUAAGUUGGAACAUUAGGCCAUAAUUUUUUAUUAACUAGUUUAUAUUAAAUUUGCAUUUGUAUAAUCUAUCAAUGUGCAUACCCACAUUUCUAUGUAAUUUUUGAGAUUGUGUGUACUUCUUUUAUACCUUCUACUUAUGUUAUGUGGUAGACUUAUGCAUGCCAUUUCUAGGUGGGCGUGUACCACCUUGUCAUGUUUAAGAUACCACACUAUUGACACUUUCUAAUACUGAAUCCUUGCUAUUGAUUUAGACAUUCAGUAAUAGAGUUUGGUAGCAUGAGCGUUAGCUAUAAUCUGCAUAACUAUAUGGCACUUAGUCAAAUUUACAUAAUGGUACAUCAUGCAUCUUCUCAUGUUCAAACCUUUCAUGUUUGGUAUUAUGCCAAUACUGUAUCUUGGACUGUUGCUAUUUGCGCAAAUGAUGAAGCUAGUAAUAAUUAAAGGCAACAAGCCGCUAAUGACUUUCUCUUUUGUCCAAAUAGGCAGAAGUGGAAAGAUAUCUGUAUUAAGGUUCUAGGAGUCAUAAGCAGAGAAUAAGACUUAGGAAUAUGAUGAUAUUGCUGUGAAUUAUUUGUCUGGUGUUCUUUUCUUUCUAAUAUUUUCACUUUUGUCAUUUGUUGAUAUAGAUAACAUGAUAGUAAAAAAUAAAUUUAUGACAUAACUAGAAAAUGUCGAAACUACAAGGUACAAAGUAUACAAUUUAAUAUUCUAAUCAUCUUAUUGAUUAUUUAUGUGAUGCAGAUUAACAAUCAAACAUCAUUCACCUUUAUUUUAUUAUUAUCACUGCUCAGUUGUUUCUGGAUUGGAAGAUGAUGCUUUAAGCAUGUCCAGCGCCACUUUUAUCUCGAAAGGAAAGACCAAAUUUUUCUAAUUUUUAUUCUACUGCUAUUGCCCUAUGUAUCGGCGCAGCUAGUGGUGCCUUUGUUUUAGAAAGUUUAUCUAUGCUAUUUGGUGUAAGAGGAUCCAGAGGCAUGAUAGUUGUUAUUUCAAAAUCUUACUUUGCAAAGGUAGUAUCACUCAUUUUUAAGUUAUACUUGUCGUUUAUUUCUUCAAUUUGAAGGUUAACUUCAUUAUCAGGAAGAAUGAAGUCCAGUAGCUCUUCUAAGUUGUUAAAUAAUGAUACAGUGUUAGAGACUUGAUGUGCUUGAUCUAAGGAGAAGGGAUUACCAUCAGUGCCACAAGUUGAACUUACAUCUAAGUACCCAUCAUCCUUUAGAUUUAGUAAGGAAUUCAAGACUUUUAGGGAAAAGAAUAGAUCAUCAUUAAGUGUCAUAUCAAAAAAUCACAAAUCUCGAACCAAGGAUCUAUGUUAUUAUGCAGAUUUUUGACACUAUGAAGAAAAUUGUAUAGUGUUGAUAUAGAAGCACCUGUUUGACAAAUUUUGAGUGCCAAAAUCUAAUGAAACAAUAUGCAAAUGAUACAUGUGAAUCUACCCAUGUGGAACUUUUUCCUUAAAUUUUUCUCAACACGUAAAGUGUGAACCAAAGACUAUUGAUGUGCCUCUUUACAGGAGUUCAGAAGUUUAAUUAAAUCUAAUGGUCUUUUACUUUGGCAUGAAGCAAGUUUCUGUAGUCAAGACCAUCGAAGAAGCUUACAGUUAAAGCACAAUCAUCUAUGCUUUCUCUGCCAUUAUGUUUGUGAAACAAAAACGUCUUUUAGGCAUAACUCUCUUUAAUUCUUAACCUCUGAAACCAGCAGUAUGCGAGGGCUUCUAUAUCUAGUAAUGAAUUCAACAAUUCAGAUGAUGAAAAAUGGUCUAUAUCUUAUAUCAAUUUGGCAAGAUCUGUAGUCUCAAACUUUAGGUCAACUUUCUCAACAAGAUUGUAUACAAAUGAAAAACCAGUUGGUUUUGUUUUAAAAAUAAAAUGUAUUCAAUAAGUUAAUACCAUAGAGCCACCUAUUAGGUAUCUUUCUCUUAAGUUUUACUCUACGAGUAAUGAGUGAAUCAAGACUCUUAUAUUUGUCUUGUAAGUCUUUAACAAGCUAAUGAGAUUUGCACGUUUAUACUUAUGAGUUGUUAGAAGUUUGGUGCAGUUCAAGUUGUCUUUGAAGUGAGGGGAAAAGUACAAUUGUUCUUGUAUGAUUGAUGAUAAUGCUUAUAUAUAAAGCAUGGGUUUUUGUGGACAAUGUAAACUACAGUAAACUUCUAAUAGUUCUUUGGUAUAAAUGUGCAAAUCUCAUUAUCUUACUGAUGACCUACAAUGCCAGGAAAAGAAAAGCCUCGAUUCACUUAUUCCUUAUAGAGCAGAACUUAAGAGAAAGAUACCCAAUAGUUGACUCCACAAGUAUUGACUUAUUAAAUACAUUUCAUUCUUGAAACAUAAACCAAUAAGUGGUUCUUUAUUUGUAUACAAUCUUGUUGAGAAAGUUGAUAUAAGAAAUAUUAAUUCAUUCAUUCUCUUAUAUGCAUGCAAACAAGUAAUAUUUUAUAAUUAUAAUGAGCAUUACACGUAUAAUGCUCCCAACAACUUGUUUUAUUCGGUGAUCUUCAAAGCGUUAUUUUAAAGAUAAAGAAAGUUGACAAAUAAAAAAAUUACAUAAUUAAAAAAAAAAUCCAUAUAGUGUUAGUAUGUGCGUGUGUGUUUGUAUGUGUGCGUGGGCGUGUGUGCGUGUGGGCGUGGGCGUGAGCGUGGGCAUAGACGUGUGCAUGUGUGUGUGGUGCACAUGCUUGAAUAUGUGCAUGUGUGUGCGUGCGUCCAUGUGUGCGUGUGGGCGUGGGCGUGGACGUGUGCGUGCGUGUGUGGUGUACAUGCUCGCAUGUGUGCACAUGCGUGUGUGCGUGGGCAUGGGCUUGGGUGUAGGCGUGUGUGGUGUGCAUUCUUGCAUGUGUGCACGUGCGUGCGAGUGGGCGCACUUGUGUGUGUGCAUGCGUGCGUGUGCAUGUGCUUGUGUGUGGGCGUGCCUCCACUUUGAAUAAGUGGAGGCUUAACAGCAACACAUUGCACUGAGGAUUUCAGCAACGCCAAUAAGUGGCAUCCUAAUCUUGACACGUGUCACUGAGUUGAGCGAAUUUCAGGUAGCCUAGUUUGGUCCACCAUUAUGCCUCAACAAAACUAUCAUACGAUAUCAGAUGGGCAAAAGAGAAGCUGAUUUUGAUGGAUCUAAUCCAACGAUGUGUAGACUCUUAGCUAUGAGGUCACUGAUACCAACCUUGGAAUAAAUUCGUAUGUGGCUUAACAAUCAAUGGUACUUAUCAAUAUAAUGGGUGCAUGAUCAAGUGGUCAUUGGUUGCUAACCCACUUGAAGGUUGUAGGCUUGAAGAUUUGGUUUUUCAUAUUGAUAAUUGUCUUCAAUUCAUAGCUAAGAAGAUGGAUGUUAGAACUUUCUUUUCUCUAGAUUGGGUAAAUUUUGACUAGUAGUAUGAUCUAUAUUGUGAGUUUAUUAGUUUAUAGUAUUUGUUUGACAUAAAGACUACAAAUUUAGAAUCUAUAAGGUGAUAUCCAAAUGACUAAUUUAUUAUCAUAAAAAGAAAAUGUUAAAAGAGAAAAACUAAUAAAAUGCCGAUAAAGUACAAUGAUAAAUUAGUAUCCAUUUAUUAUAUUUGUAAGUUCAAUGAUAAAUUAGUAUCAAUUUAUUAUAUUUGUAACUAAGUGACUAAAUUAAUACUAAUUUAUCGUUAUUAACUUUCAUUAAUAUUUGUUCUAAUUUUUUUUUGUCACUUAAAUUUAGGUGGGAAAUAUUAUUUAAAUUAGGGGUGUAAAUUGGUGUAAUUAUAUCAUAUAUGUACCUUGUCAAAUAUAAGAAAAUACAGUUACGAUUUGUUUAUCAAUACAAAUACGAUUAAUUUAUUAAUCGUAUUGAUUCAUUUAACAUUUUUAAUAUAAAAAAAUUAAAAAUUAAUUUAAAAAUAACAAAUAUGUCAAUUUAUUCUUGACAGUAGGUUAUAGAUAAGUUAACAUGACAUAAAUAAGUUUAUAACAUAAUAUGAAUAUAUUAUAUGAAAAUUUAGUGUUUAGUAUAUAUAUUAGUUAAUUUUUUUUAAUAAUAUUACCAUGUAUGGAUUGAUAUUCGUAUCAUAAAUAAGUAACCGUAUUGAGGUGGUAUAAUUCAAAUACAACACGAUUAUUUGUCAUGUUAUGUCAACUUAUUUAUUAAUCGUUUUAAAUUUGUCAACACAAAUUCGGAAAAAUUGUAUCAUAACCUAUUUUACCACCUCUAAUCCAAAUAAACCAAGAGACCAUGUUUAAUUAGUUCAUUUAAUAUUAAUUUUAUAUACAAAGAGAAAAGGUACCUCCCUAUUUUAUCAUUCUAGUAUUUUUUUUUCUUCUCUUUAUUUUUUUUUUAUUUUAAAAAAUAUCUGUUAAGACGUGGUUUUAUCCAACGAGUUUACCAACCAAAUAAUUAGAGUCCGUCCAUUACAUAAUUUAACUCUUAUCAAACUUUAUAAUUAUAGGUAAAUUAAUACUCGUUGUUUUUACAAUAAAAUCUCAAUAUAGUGAUAUUCUAUACACGAAUUUUACACAGUCAUAAAAAAUUAUGCUCCUGAUUUGAGCUAGUUAAAAAUAAGAACAAACUCUAUAUUAUAAUAAGUUAUAAUUUUUUUAGAUCUUAUCUUAAAUAACUUACCUCUAUAUAGUAAUAAUUAUCUGUAUAAUUACAAAAUAAUAUAUAUUACCUCAUAUUAAAAAUUUAAGAUGAAAAAAAAUAUAUUUAAAAAAAAUAUUUGGAACAAUGAUUUAUUUUUUAGAUUUGUGCCACAUAUUUUAACUUGUAGGUAUGUAGGUUGCGUUUACUUUCUGGAGUGAGAGUGAAGAUUGUAAAUUCCUCUCACUCUAAUGUUUAUUUCACUAAUUUAGAAAACGAUUGAGAAUACCACUCCGUGGGCUCCAUUACUUUUGGAGUGGAGAGUGGUAGUUAGAGUGGAACUCCAAGAGCGGAGUAUGGAGUCAGUUUUCCAUAUAUUUAGUCUAACGCAAAACCUAGUAUACCUGGCAAGGUGUUUGCCAAAAUUUAUGCAUCAAAUGAAAAGGACCCCGCCCACGUGCUGUGUAUGGCUGUUUCUUUGGACCACAGCCACAUAAACAUACACACAUAAUAGCAGCCGUUAAAAGUGGUGGUUGUGGCUUUCCACAAAGUAACAAGAUUCUUUCCCACCUUGCAUUUAGUCUUCCAAUAAUACAAUAUCUUAUUAAUCCACACCAAAUCACCAAUACAAAGCAUCUUGAUUCAACCAUCCCAUAAUGCCAAAGCUCCAGAGCUAUUAGAUAUCUUGAUUAGAUAGUGAAGUGAUCCAGCAAUUAGCAAAGCCAACUCCACUUCCCUCUCAAGAGUCGAGUAGUCAUGGCAGAAGAACAACUAUCCAAAUGGAAAGGCAAGGAGAGUAUUGAGAGUGCAAGCAUAACGGCAGAACAGGUUUGGGCUUGCCUUGAGGAUUUUUGCAACGCACAUAAGUGGCUGCCCAAUCUUGAUACAUGUUACCUGGUUGAAGGAGUUCCCGGGCAGCCUGGUCUGGUUCGCUACUGCGCUAGCUCUAAAUCUGAUGGUCAUGAGGUGACAAUCAGAUGGGUGAAAGAGAAGCUGAUUCUCAUGGAUCCAAUACAACGGUGGCUUAGCUACGAGGUCACUGAUAAUAAUUUGGGAAUUAAGUCGUAUGUGGCGACCAUCAAAGUAUUUCCCAUCAAUUUUGACAAUGGAAUGAAAGGGUGCAGGAUCGAGUGGUCAUACGUUGCCGACCCAUUUGAAGGGUGGAAAUUUGAAGAUUUUGCCUCUCAUAUCGAUUAUUCGCUAAAAUUCAUGACUAAGAAGAUGGAACAUGCUUCUCUCCUGAUGGGACAAAAUUUGAGUACGAGUGCUACCUAGUUUUAUAUUUUUGCCAUUUGUUAUUGUGCUUUAUACAUAUGUACUGCUAGUUUUAUUUUAUAAUUUAUUUGACACUAUGAGCUCGUGUGCUAUUCCAUAUGGCUUCUCGCGUAUUGAAUCAUCAAUGAGUGCUCUUCUCUUGGGUUCCACCUGGAUUAAAACUAGAGCAUGUCGAUGCAGAGCCCUGAACAAUGAGUAUGCAACGUUGUAAUCUACCAUCAUUAUUUGAUUGCAAGUUAUUUCAGUUACUUCGUUAUCUGCAGUACAUUUCUUUUACACAUUACGAGUCCCCUAGUCCCUGAACUUUAGGAACGGUCGGUUCAGAAGGUUCUUAUCAAAUUUCAAAUUGUAGAUUAUCUUUGGCCUGCGAAAUAUGAUUAUUUUGUAUUACCUCCUCAAAAAGAAAUUAUGGGAAAAUUAAUUAUAAUGACAAAAUACGUGCAUAAAUUACAGUGAAGAUUAAUAACUAUAGAAGGGAGGGGGUGCUCUAUUCUGUUUCACAGUUUACAAAACAUUUCGUUUCGUACGGACACCCAUCAUCACCUACACGAGCAGCAAGAUAAAAGAAUGCAUUCGUUAAAAGGAUGCUCUGUUUUCUUUUUCUUUUUCUUUUUCUUUUUCUUUUUCCUGCUGAGAGGCACAAACCAUAGUUAAUAAACAAUUACAGGCAAAACAAACAUUUCAUCUGUGCGAUUCCACAACACUAAUGUGUGGAUUAAUAAGUGCUUCCCAAGGCUGAAAACCCUAAACUUGAAAAUAAAACACCUCUUUCCUAUGAGAUGAAUGGAUCACCUUUUCUUCAUUUUUCAAUACUGCAACCUAAUUUCUUCUCUAACCAGACUAUUAUAUCCUGUGCAACCUCAUCUCGCUCCAGCUCAAAGAGGAGGUCAUGCAACAAUCCCUCAUACAGCUUAAUGUCUUUAAACCUGGAAGCUGCCUCAUUGUACAAAUCCUGAGAGGCUAAAGGGUCGGUAACUUUGUCUCCUGUUCCAUGAAGAACAAAGAAUGGGACAGAAACAGACUUAAAGUUGCGCUUCAAGUAUGAGGAAAGGCGCAGUAUCUCAUGGCCUGUUCGGACCCUUAUGGGUCCUGUGUAGACCAAAGGAUCAGAAUACUUUGCCAAUAGCGCUGCUGGAUCCCUAGAAACUGGAACGCCCCUUUUGUUAGCACCUUUAAACUGGUACUUGGGAACUACCAGAGAAAAAAGAGGGGCCACGGCCUGCAUAAAAGUAUCAACGAAAGAACUUUUAAUUAGUGAAAACAGAAAUAAAUAUUUUAAACAAUUCAACUCAAUCAGCUAAACUACUUAUCAUUCCGUAAAUCUAUCGAGUCAAGAACAAGGGAAGAAAAAUAACUACUUACCCCCACAAUAGGAUGUGCUGGCUCAACACGCAAAGCUGGUGCCGAUAGCACAAUUCCCUCCAGCAUUGCUUCAAUGUGGGGAUAUGAAGCUGCCUGCACAAAGGUGCGCUGUAUUAACCCAUAAUUUUUUAAAAAUCAACCAAGAUGGGACCAUAUGAAAUCGGCAUAUGACUCACCUUCAGAACUACAGCCCCACCAGUAGAGUGACCAAAAAGGAAGCAUGGUACAGUUGGAUUUUCCAAUUUAAUUUUUUCCAAGAAAGCCCCCUGUUAAAUCAGAACAUAAGGGAGGUUACAUCUCACUUAAAAUAUAUAUAUAUGUGUGUGUGUGUGUGUGAAGUUAUAAUGUCAUAUCAUAAUGGAUUCUAAGAAUCAAGCCAGAUACAUCAAAAUAGAUACAGUUUGCAAAAUGUGGCUGACACAAUUCAAUUUAAAGAUGCAAUUAUGACAGCGGAUGACCCAAACAAUAUUGGUAAAAGUAGAUUAUUGGUUAUAGAAAUUGAAUGCUUUGCUUUGGAACAAAAGGAGGAUCAUAUAAAAAGAUAUGAUGAAAAAAUAAAAUGUACUUACCGUGUCUGCAACCACAUGGUCAAGUGAAGGAACAUAUCCAUGCAAUCCAUCGCUCCCACCAUGACCUAGAUUUUAGAAGAUAAUCCAUCACCAAAAACUCUAUAAUUUAACUUGCUAAACACUUAUUUACUAACUAUGUGGCAAAUAGAAGAGCAAAAAAAGAAGUCACCUCCAAAAGGACUCUUCAAAUCAAAAUAAGUAUAUAUUAUUUUAAUCAAACUUUUUUCUAUAUAAAAGUAAUAACAAUUAUAACACUUCUCUUGAAUAAUGAGAUAAAAAAAUAAUAUAAUAAAUUCAAGGCUCCAAAAUACUCUCCAAAUAAGAUUCUUCAAUGAGACAGUGCUUCUCUCUCUUCAAGACUCUCAUUUGGAGAGUUUUUUGGAAUUAGACUCUCAUUUGGAGAGUUUUUUGGAAUCUCUUCAAGACUCUCAUUUGGAGAGUUUUUUGGAAUUUUUUUUUUUUUUGGUUGAUGUGGCUCUUCAAAUAAGUAGCUUAUACAAUUGAUAAGCAACAAGUUAUAAAUGUACCUAUCCAGUCCAUAGCAUAGACCCCAAAGUUACACGAAGUUAGUUGCCUAGCAAAUUGAGCAUACCUCCCACUGAAAUUAAACAAACACCGAUAACAGAAAGGCAAGAUCAGUAUUCACACCUUUUGUAAUAAAAUCAGAAGUGUAAGAAUAAAACAGAACAAUGCUUCCCCAAAUACAGGACAUUCAAAAUUACCUGUGCUCAUUCAGCCCAUGUAUUAUGAUCAAAAUGCCCCUGAAAGAAUAAAGCACUUGAAAUUAGAACAAGCAGAUAUAGAACAGAAUAAAGGCACCAACAAGCAAGGAAUGUACAAAAUGUACAUGUAUGCAAAUGCUCUGUGGAAUCAGAGCCCCAUGUGGCACGAAAGCCCCUUAAAUCCUUUUGUAUAAUGUAAUCCCCUGGAGUGCCAGAGUUUUGUUAGAAAAGGAAACGACUAAUUGCGCCGAUAAUAAGCUAACAGCAAGCAUAAUACAAUGUAACGAGAUUUUAGUUGCAAUUUAAAAUUCCAUUUACUCUGUUUCUCAUCAAUCACAUGACAAUCACCAAUCAAAAUUACGAAAUAGUCCGUAAAAAUUUCAAAAUUCAAAAUUGGAAGUCAAAGUAAUCAUUCAAAGUCAAACAACUUAAAUAUAAUUAUGAUAUUUUAUUUUUCAAAAACCUUACUUCAAUUCACCGGAGACCGGAAUCCACGAGCGGCAAAACAAGGCGUUCCUUUUAACGCCAAAGAAAAGAGAAGUACUCCAGCGGCACGGGACCUCCCCGUCGUCGGUCUCGAAUCCCAUUUUCAAGUCCUCGGCCAACGCUCUUCGUCUCAUGGUAUCCUCAUCCUCUCGCCUCAACAUCGACUUCCUCUUCCAGCUUUUCACCUGAGAUUUCGGCGCACCGGCCGCCGGCCUUCGCGGCAGCAGGAGGAUGACGAGAGAAAAGAUGAACGAUUGGAUGAAAAAAAUCAAUGUUCUAAGGGUUUUUAGGAUCGGGAUUAUGCGAUUGCUCGCUCCCGAUGUCAAUUGAUCCACCUCAGCCGUCGACAUGUCGCCGCCUACGGACGAAGGAGAUUUAACGACGAAUAAUAUGCGACGGAACAAGAGAAUGAGAAUAAAAAUAAAAUCAGAGAAUUUAAUAAUUAUCAACAAAAAUGAGGAUCACGCAAAGAAUAAGAAAUGAAGGAGAGACUUGCGAACGCCUCUUUAUGUCGUAUUUAUAGACGUGCAGAAGAGAGAGAGAGAGGACGAAAAAGAUAUGAUUAGCUGGAGCACGAAUGAUCGAAGUCAUGGUGAUCAACAACGUGGCGUCAUUUGGUGGUGUGGAAGAUUUUAGGUCAACCGAGAGAAUUAAAUAUGAUUGGUCUGCGGUUUAGACUCUACAUGGAUUUAUUCCGGAUUAAAAUUGACGGUCAUGAUAGAAUGUACUGGAGUGUGCGAAAGCUGAUGGAAGAUAAGGCAAUCGACAUCGAAUCACUAGAAAGUACAGUGAAGGUCACUUCUAUAUCCUUUUUCCUCUAAUUUAUCGCGCUAUAACCGGCAGCUCGGCUCAACUUAUGGCUAAUAACUAUCAUUUACGGACCGUCUUAAUUCUGAUUAUCUUAAUAUCACUGGACGGAAUAAAGCGUGAACGUCAGCAUAUUUUAUAUCUGAAUAAAAUAUAUGAUCACAUAGUUAUUUCUUUUGAAAUAAUCAACGCGUUUGUUUAUUUAUUUGAGUAUUUAAUAAAUGACGUAAAUGUAUUUGAGAAUUGAUAUGGCGGGCUCGGAGGUUCAAAUCAAAUCUUCCUCCUAUGUUACUGUACACCUUUUGGAAAAAAGUACACGUAAGCUGAGCUGAGCUGGAACAGAACGAGCCGAGCCGAUUGGAGUGGCUUACAAGAGUUGUUAGUGGCGGAGGCCGGAGAGCAGUUAGAGACGUGAAUAUCAACAGUGAGAGACGGCGAAUUCUAGCCGCACAAACCUUUUAAUUGUCGUCAUAGAGAUGCCGCCACGUGGUGUGGGGACACUCUGAGAAUAGACUUUGCACCGCAAAUUUAGCGGUCUUUUCGAGAAAAGUUAAAUAAACUGAAUAAUUAUAAUUUCAAUAUUACUUUUAUUCACUUUAUAAAAAAUAAUAAUGGUAAUUUUAUUUUGAAAAAUUAUUUUUACAUGUAGACAUUUACUUACUAAAAUAUUCCGACAUGUCCCAUACACCACUUAUGUUUUAAAAUUUUUUAAAUCAAUCACUUUGUCAUUAAUAAUAUUAGAAUGUAUUAAUGAAUUUAAGUAAAAUGAUCAUUUCAUCCUUGAAUACAUUAAAAACUUGAAAUUUUAAAAAUUAAAAAAUGUAUAAUUAUAUAAGAAGCAUAACUAUAGACAUACAGGAAAGUUAGAUGAAUGCUCUUUAAUUUUAUUUUUCUUUUGUAAAUAACGAUUUUUUAAUUUUUUAAUUUUUCACAGUUCCAAAGACUAUAAUGAUCUUUUAAUAUAUUUAAGAGUGAAACAAUCAUUUUGUUUAUAUUGUUAAACAUAUUAUAAUGUUAUUAGAGAUGACAAUUGUAUUCGCAAACCCACAAAUCCACUCAAACCCGCCUGUUGUAGGUAAUUUUAUGGUUGCGGGUGAGUUUAGUAUUAUAAAUUGAAACUCGUACUAGGUUGCGAGUGGGUUUUGUAUUAGCUAAAUAUCCAGUGCAUACCCAUAUGGAUAUCCGUCAACCCGCAACUUUUUUUAAAGAUAUUUUUAAUUUAAUUUUAAUUGAAAAAAUUUAAAUAUAAAAAUAUAUAAAGUAAAAAAUGUAAAGUGUAAAUGUGUGUGCAAGUUGCAACGUGCCUAAGUCCUAACAUGCUUUAAUUUAAUGCAUUGAUUAUUAUAUACUUAUUAUAAUUUUGUAUGGACUAUUAUUCUUUAACUUAAUGCAUUGAUUAUUUCAUUAUUCUUUUGUUCUUCAUAUUAGUAUUUAAAACAUAUUAUUCUUUAGAAAAUAUUAAACUUAAUUAUUAUUGUAGAAAUCAUGUUGGAUGGGUACUAAUGGUGGUGAAUGAAAUAAAAAUCUUCUCUUGGGGCUUAUGUUGAAUGAUAAUGUGAAAUAAUAAUUGUUAUUUUUAGAUACCAAUUUGUGGCUUUUUUUUAUUGAUUUAUGUAUUUUGUACUUAAAUUUGAAAAGUUAUGUUGGAUUGAUGUUGAAAUUUAAAAUUUUCAUUUACAUUGGUUAAAUUUAAAAUUGAGUAUGUUAAGUGAAAUUUUAGGUUAUUAUUUUAAAUUUAUAUAUUGAGCAUUUGUUAUUUUAAAUAUUGAAACCCGUAAAAAAUCGGCCGACUACUAUUGCGAGUUUGGUAAUUGUCAAAACCCACAGGUUGUGGAUUUUCUUAAAAAAAUUAAAACCCGCAACAGAUUGCGAGUGUGUUUAGUAAUUUAAAUUUUGUGCGGGUUUGAGUUUGGCAAUGGCAAACAUGCUGCGGACGGUGCCCAUUGCCAUCCCUAGGAAUCUUGUUGGAUAUGUGCUAAUGGUGGUAAAUGAAAUAAAGAUCUUCUCUUAGACCUUAUAUUGAAUGAUAAUAUGAAAUGAUAAUUGUUAUUUUUAGAUAUCAGUUUGUGGUUUUUUUAUGGAUUUGUAUAUUUUAUACUUAAAUUUGAGAAUUUGUGUUGGAUUGAUAUUGGAAUUUUGAUUUUCCAUUUACAUUGGUUAAAUAUUAAAAUUGAUUAUGUUAUGUCGAAUUAUAGGUUAUUAUUAUAAAUUUACGUAUUGAGCAUUUUGUGAUUUUAAAUGUGGAAACUCACAAAAAAUCUACCGAGUAUCAUUACGAGUUUGGUAAUUGUCAAAACCUGCAGCGGGUGGAUUUUCUUAAAAAAAAUAAAAACCAACCCAUAGCGGGUUGCAGGUGGGUUUAAUAAUUUAAAUUUUGUGUGGGUUUGGGUUUGGUAAUGGCAAUCUCGCUGCGGGUGGUGCUUAUUGCCAUCCCUAAACAUUAUUGUGGUACAACAGUUGAUUGAUACAAAUUUGAAAAUACUGCAAAUGCAUAGAACAAGUCAGAACUUUUUAAUAGUUAUAUGUAUAUAUGAUAAAACAAUGAUGACGCCAAAAUUUACUUUUAUCCCCAUCUGCCACCUUAAGUAGGCAACAACAAAGUUUACAAAAGUCAAGGCAAUUUAAAAAAUGUCAAGGGAAACCUUAAAAUCCUCUCUUCUCUCUCUUCAGAGAAACCUCUUGUCUUACCAAAAUAGAGCUUUUGGCAAGAACAUUAAUUCUUUUUUUCCCCCAUUUUUUAUGGCUUCCCUUGAUGCCUUCUUCUUGUGAAGGUUUCUCUCUCUUAUCUUGCCAAGGGUUUUCCCUUCAAAGUGGAGGUUAUCUUUCCACCCAUUUGGUGGUGGGGGUACAUUAGUUUAAUGGUGGUGGUGGACUUGGCUUUCGUUGGGCUUUGCAAAUUUGGUAGUUAGAGAUGGAUAGAAUGGAUCAAUCCCUUAAUUUUUUUGUUCUUCUGCUUUUAGUAGAUUUAUUGGGUAAAAUCUUUCAUGAAUUAGAAAUUCUUAAUCUCUAAAUAUGUUAAUAUUUGUUUUUUACUGUCUGAGCCUACAUUUCGUUAUUCUAUUUAUAGUACUUAAAUUGAGAAUAGUUUUGUAUUUGCGUCGCAAUGACACUUGUUUUUAAGGUUAGGCAUUCAAUUCAGUAUUUUUCGAACUAAACCGAAUCGAACUGAAUCAAAUCAAACCGAAAUUACUCGGUUUGGUUUAGCUCGGUUCAAUAAGUAAAAACUAAAUAGUUUGUGUUUUCAUGAACAUGAUUGUUUAUGUUCAGUUGGCGGUUCCAAAAUCGAACUGAAUGCACAAACCGAUCGGUUCAUGCAAUUUAAUUUCAAAAUUAAAAGAAAAUCCUGGUCGGCUAAGGUGUGGUUAAUACUUAAUUAUUAUGUCAAAGUCUUGAGCCAUUUGAUCAAAGUUAGGUGCAUUGGAUCUUCUAGAUGGCAAAGCUACAAAAACAGUAAGCAGUAACCAAUAGCAGUCAAGCACCUAGUUAGCUCGCGCCCCUCUCUUUCUCUCAUGGUCACUUUCACUCACUCUGUCUCAUAUCUCUCUUUUCUCAUGUAUCAGUCUCAAUACUCACUACUCUUUCCACUAACGUCACUCACGAAUCAUCGCACCUAGCUAUCUGAUAAGUAAGGUUGGCAAUUAUGGGUGGGCAAAAAAAACUGAUUAGUUAAAAAUCAAACCGAUUUUACAGUUUUUUACACCCAAAAAAUCAAAUAAAUAAUAUAAUAAAAAUAGUAAAAUCAAUCGGUUUAAAAAAUAAAAUUAAAAAACCGAACCGAUUAUCAAAUAAACCGAAUAACAAUCUGGAAUCCCUAAACCUAAAGUGAGUAAAGUGACUCUAAACCGAUUGUCCACUUCAGAAGUUCUGAGUUCUGAUUUUCAACCACCGAACUCGUAACCUUCAGCCGUUGGAAUCUCGUCCCCGUUGCUCGUCACCGCCGCUGCUAAUUGUCUCCGCUGCUCGUCGCUGCUGCUUGUCGCCGCUGCUCGUCGCUGCUGCUUGUCGCCGCUGCUCGUCGCUGCUGCUUGUCGCCGCUGCUCGUCGCUGCUGCUUGUCGCCGCUGCUCGUCGCUGCUGCUUGUCGCCGCUGCUCGUCGCUGCUGCUUGUCGCCGCUGCUCGUCGCUGCUGCUUGUCGCCGCUGCUCGUCGCUGCUGCUUGUCGCCGCUGCUCGUCGCUGCUGCUUGUCGCCGCUGCUCGUCGCUGCUGCUUGUCGCCGCUGCUCGUCGCUGCUGCUUGUCGCCGCUGCUCGUCGCUGCUGCUUGUCGCCGCUGCUCGUCGCUGCUGCUUGUCGCCGCUGCUCGUCGCUGCUGCUUGUCGCCGCUGCUCGUCGCUGCUGCUUGUCGCCGCUGCUCGUCGCUGCUGCUCGUCGAGUCUUCGUCGCUGCUGCUCGUCGCAUUAACAAAUGCAUUGUGGCUGCUUGUUGGUUUAGACUUCUCAUAACUUUUUCUUUAUUACCAAAAUCGACCAGUAUAAGAAACAUUACCAGUGUCCCUCAAACAAUUACUUAUCUUGUUUUCUUUACGCAUAAUUUUUUAGGGUGCUUAAUCUGGCUGCGGUUUUUACAGGGCUCCUACACACUUAAGAUGACAAUGGAGGACAAGAACUGACUUGCUUUAGCUUCAACUUCAAAAUUGGCUUUCAUUCUCUGGUCUCUGAUAGUUAAAAGUGCCCAGCACCUUUUUAUAAUCUCUUGCGUUUCGAGCGGUCAAGUUCAUCCUUAACACCAACUCAAUGUAAACAAGUGUGCGCUCUAUGCGGCUGCUUGUAUAUUAUUUUAGUUCUGUGUUCAAUGGUGUUUGAUGUUGUAAUAUUCUUGUAAGAUUCGUAUUUGUAAUAUGUGCUCUGUCUGUGUGUUGCAUUUCUUCUCAAGGGUAAAGAUGUCAAUGGACUUGAUUCGCGAAUGGUGACUAUUGCUCUUGUGAUCCUUGAAAGUUAUCGAGUCAUGUGAUAUAAAGUGAUUGUUUAUAAAGUUAUCCUUGAAAGUUAUCGAGUCAUGUAUAAUAUGUCUAUCGUGGCAUAUGAUACGAUAUUUUCACUCUUAGCUAAUCAUUCUAAUAUUUUUGUUUAAUUUGUUAAUGUAGAAUUUGGUAGAUCAAUAGUAGCUCAACAAGAACAAGUAGUUGAGGAGUAAUUGAGAUUUGGGAGUUGAUUGAUGUUUAUUGCUUUUGUAGUUUUAUUAAAGUUUAAAAGAUUUUUUGCUUAUUUAUUUUGAUUUGAACUUUGUACGGAGAUGUACAAGAAAAGAAAAGUGGCUAUGAACUCGGCUAUACCGGCCCUGUAAAACGACCAAGACUUGAGCUCGCCGGGCUCAAAGAGCGGCGCCGGUGGGGGCUCAACGUAGUCCUUCCCAUCUUGGGUCUGAGCCGCCGUCCCAAUCGGCUGCCUCUCGGCGAACUUGUUGGCUCCCAGUCUAACAUCCUCUUCUUUACCUUCCAUUUCUGCUAGUCCCUCAAAAACACAAAACAGUCAAUAAGAAGCACUUGCUUUUUUGUUUGUGGCCGUUUGAUGUUGUGAUGAGAAUGAGUGAGAGAGUACUAGAAGUUGGGGGAAGGGGGUUAUAUCAUCCGGAUCAGGGAGUGAUGAGUGCAGGUGGUGGGCUCCAAUUUGGUGUAUAAAAUUGAAUUUACUUACUUAUCUUGUGACCGACCAAUCAUUUUCUUGGAAUUUUGUGGAAAUUACUUAAAUGCGCUUAGACUAUUUAGAAAGAAAAAUGACAUUACGUUGGGGUAUCCUAGCUGGCUCAAUUUCAUCCACAUCUGUAAUGAUGUUGUGGCCACCGUCCAUCAAGGGUCAAGCAGACCGAGUGGGUGGGAAUUGGGACAUGAUGAUCACGGGAUUUAUUACGUAAUUUCAUUGCUCUUUUUAGGGCAAAUUACAGAAACCAAAGCAAGUAGGUUAUUUAAUUUUAAUUUCGUUUUACACUCUCAAAGUCUUUCUCAUUAUCAAUCAGCUUUAUUGUCAUUUUCUUAAUGUGAAUUAUGUCGGUUGCUCUGGCCUAUUGUCCUUUCCGUGUGUCCAUUUCGCUCUAAGGAAUUGGUUCACUGGCACGACUGUAACUUUACGAAUUGAUGCCUCCAUGAAUUAGUCCGUUCCUAUUUGAAUGGCUUUAUUUAUUUUAUCCGUCGUUGUUUCAAAAUAUUUAUUUAGAAGUCGAAGGCUCGGUUUAGGGUUGGCAAAAUCCUGGGUUGGGUUCGGGUAUCGCAAUGUCCAGACUUAGUUUGGAUGUAAUUUUUAGAUGUUCGGAUCAAGUUUUAAUGCGAGUACCUAAAUUUUAUAUUUUUUAAUAUUAUAUGUGUAUAUUUUUUUUGGUAAUUUUAUAAGUUUUAAAUUUAUUUCAAUAAAAUUUGAUAUAAAAAUAUAAACUUUAAGUGUUUAAAAUUUUAUAUCUGUGUAAUAAAUGAGUCAAAUAAAUAUAAAUAUUUAAAAUAGUAUAUAUUUUAUAAUAUUUUUUUAAUAAAAUUUGCUGCUGUACCGUACAUCCGCCUUGGCCGUACAGCAGUAUUACUUUUAUUAUUUAAUUUCAGCCUUUAGAUUUCAACUUUGAACGUUACUUAAGUUAAAAUUAUAAAAUAAUUAAAAAUUUAGAAUAGUUUUAAAAUUAUAUUAUUAUACAUGGAUUUUAUAGUUGGUCCUCCUGUCUCACAAAUAAAGGUAGAACUUAUUCUUUCUUCUUGUCCCAUCCCACUUUAAUUUAGAUUGUAAAAAUAUGUCUCAAUCACAUUUCAAACAGGAUGAGAUCCUCUAACAUGAAAAAUUAUCAUCCCUACUGACAAUAUAUUUAGCUAGCUUGGCGAAGUGAUCGUCAUCGUGAUUCACAGAUUUAACUAACUUGUGGUAAUGAUCGUGAUUCAACCACCUUGUCGCUAGUUGUUGCCGUCGCAACCUUAAUCUUCUGAUCCUUUGAAUGAUAUUCGUUCUUAUCAAGAGAGAGAAAAAAAAAAAAAAGGUGUAAGGAGAUUUCGUGUGGGAUUUUGUCACAGUUUUGAUAAACACUACAAGCUUGCUUAAACGAUAAUCAGAAUAAACGAGUAAAGAAUUAGAAUUUAAUUCUGUCAAAUUUUGGUUUUUGUCCCUAAUUUUCAGAUAGCGUUACGAACAAUUUUGUACCCAAAUGACACUACACAAUGUUUAGAUAAACUGACAUGUAAACUCGUUCUUCUUGGAAUUCACCAAUAUAAUUUAAACGAUAAGGAAUAUGCUUGACAAGUACGAGACUGGAGUAGACAAAUGAAAAAAAAAAAACAAUCAAACAAACUCCCUCUGCGAAUUCUCAGAAGCAGCAGGGGAUAAGAACGAGCGGGUAAUUUUUAAAAAUUUCCCCUGAGGUUUGAGGCUAUUGCAAGUAGAUGGUGAAAAUCAUUUUAUUUGUAAAAGGCCUCCUACCGUUAGUUAAAAUUUUCAUUAACUAAUUGUUGACUUUGAAAAGACAAUAUUACCCCCAAUAUUUAUAAUUCUAAAUAUUUAUAAUUUUAUAAGUAAUUAAAAUAAUUAUUUUCACCAUGAUCAAGUUAUUGAUAUUUUCUUAAAAUCUUAAAAAAAUAAAAUUACAAAUCUUAAAAAUAAAAUUACAAAUCUUAAUUAUUUGCUUAAAAAAAUAAAAUUACAAAUCUUAAAAUAAUUUUUUUAAGUUUGUAAUAAAAUUACAAAUCUUAAUUAUUUGAUAUAAAAAUAUAAUUUUUUUAAAAAUUUGUAAUUUUAUUUUUUUUAAGAUUUUAAGGAAAUUUUAACUGACGUAAACUAUUAUUGGGGGUAAACUAUUAUUGAGGGUAAUAUUGUCUUUUUAAAGUUAACAGUUAGUUAAUGAAAAUUUUAACUAACGGUAGGAGGUUUUUUACAAAUAAAAUAAUUUUUACCAUCUACUUACAACAGCCUCAAAUCUCAGGAGAGGAUUUUAAAAAUUACCCAAGAACGAGCCCAUAAAACAAAAAUUAUAAGAAAAUAAUAUAGAAAAAUUAACGAGUUUAGCACCAAUUUGAUGGGACAAAAGCAAAAUGACGCAUAAAGAAAUGUAAAUAAUAAUAAUAAUAAUAAUUUUAUUAAUGUAAGGUCUGACAAAAAGAUUAAAGAGUGAUGACUUUGAGGAAGGGUAUGAUGCUUGGCUACCAGCGAACCAGCCCGCAGGAUGGGAAAUUAGAGCGCGGGCGGUUGGCCUUCAAUGCUGGACUCUCUUUCAUCCACUAGUGGUUAUCUAUCACAUUCAAGCGACUUGUCGUUUCGUGGAUGUGAUUUAAACAUACAUCGACGCAUUUAACUUUCUGUACAUAACACGGCAUAACGUAUUAUUAUGGGCACCGAAGCGUGAAGAAAGUGAUUCAACAAAAGAAAAAGAAAAAAAAAAGCCAUAAAGGCAAGUUAGCCAAAAUCACUAUUUUCCAUUGGUUAAUAUUUUUUUAUGUUAUGUGGUGAGUGUUUCUUACUCUUAGUGCCAGUGCAACUCAAUUAAAAAAAAAGAAGGCUUUAUUCCAUGAUAGUGCAGAACAUCAUUUGACUUAAAGCUCCACCAUUAGUUCUAUAUCAAUGGAUGAUAUCAUAAUAAAUAUUCCGAAGCCGUUGGUGAAAGUCUUCGUUUUAAAGUAUGUGGGUCAUGCUUUUGCAAAAAAAUAAAAAUAAAAAAAAUAAAAAAGUAUGUGGGUCAUGGGUGAUGGGCCAGUCACUCGAUGACCUAGCAAUUGGCAAUCUUCACGUUCCUUGCGGACAAGUUUGAACUUUGAACUCACCCGUGAGUAGGGAUGGUAAAACCCCGGGUCAGAUUCGGGUAUUGCAAUGACCGGACUCUAUCCGGAUACAAUCGGUCUAGGUUCGGGUUUGGGUCUGGGUCGGGUUUUAAUUUGAGUACUCAAAUUUUAUAUUUUUUAAUAUUAUAUGUGUAUAUAUUUUUUUAUUUUUUGCUAAUUUUAUAAGUUUUAAAUGUAUUUCAAUAAAAUUUGACAUGAAAAUAUAAAUUUUAAGUGUUUAAAACUUUAUAUAUGUAUAAUAAAUGAGUCAAAUAAAUAUAAAUAUUUAAAAUAAUAUAUAUUUUAUAAUAUUUUUUUAAUAAAAUUUGGGUUUCGGAUUUAUCAAGUGAUGCCCAAGACCGACCCGACUUCAUAAUACCCGGCCCACAAUACCCAGGUACGGUCCGGGUCCGAACCGGGCGGGUAUUUUUGCCACCUCUACCCGUGAGUAUGAAUCAUUAGAUUUUCUAUCAUUUUUCAUUGCAAAUAAUUAAUAACUAUUUUCUAAAUUUUAUUGGUGUAGAUUAUUAAAGACGCGUUAGCGCAGCUGCCUCAAAUGCGCUAUAAGUUAUAUGCAACAUACUUCGAGUUAUGCUACUUUGAUAAAUUUCAAGAUGUGUUAUAAUGGGAAGAAUUCAAAUAAUCAGAAUGUUGUUUUAUUGAUUCAAAUUUUCAAGCUAUAUUUGAUAAAUUGGGCGCAUUAUAAUUGUAUAUAUUUAGACCUUUUAGCAAUGUACUUAUUUAAACAUACAUAUAUAUUUUUGGAUGUAUUUUAACUCUUUAUACAGUACUCUCACAAAAACAAAUAAACAAAAUAAAGCGGGGGUGUGUAAGUGAGGGGAUAUAUAUUUAUUUCAGCUGGUAGCCAUAUAAUGAUGAUAAUGCUUUAUGAACCUAUUUUUCAAAUGUGGUUCUUUCAUCAUAUUGAACGAACCCAAGCAUUAAGCAUUAGCUUUCAUUUUCUUUCCAUCCGAAGUUGAUUGAAAAUGAAAGUUGAAAGAUGCUUAAUGGACCACAAUGUUGCGGCUAUGUUGGAAUUAUCUUCUUUUUUAGUUUCUAAUUUGAAUGGUCAAAAUGCACACCACCCAGAGUCUCAUAUAUUUAUAGGAAAAAUGCUAAGUAUCAAGAAAAACGAGAGAAUGAAGAGAGAAUGAAGCAUGUGGUGGGAGGAGAGAGAGAAAAGAAAAGCUGGUAGCGGAGAGAGAGAAAAGAAAAGCUGGUAGCAGAGAGAGAGAAGAGGCAAUUCUCUCGUCUUUCUCUCGUUGUUCUUGAUAUUUAGCAGCACUCUAUUUUAUAUGGAUGAAAACAAUUUUUUUUUUAUUUAAGGAGAGUUUUUUUUUAUAUAUAUUUUUCGUACAGGCUUUACACUUUAGUCACAAAAUCGUUGUUGUGAAACCCUAGCUUCAACAUAAUUUCUUAAUCAGAAAACUCAAAAGAUGUUCAUCAAAAAAGGGUAAUUUUUAAAAACCUCCCCUGAGGUUUGGGCUUGUUGCAAGUAGAUGGCGAGAAUUGAUUUAUUUGUAAAAAACCCCCUACCGUCAGUUAAGUUUAACAUUGACCGUUAGUUGACCGUGCAAAGACAAUAUUACCCUUAACAAUAGUUUGUAAACGAAAAUAACUAAAAAAAAUCAAAAUUAUUAGUGUAAAAAGCACAAACCCUAUUUUUUGACAAUUUUAUCCUUGUCAAUUCUAAAAAUUUACAAUAUCAUAGGUAAAAAUUAUGACUAUUUCAUUUUUAAAUUUUUAAUUUUAUCUUUCUUGUAGGAAUUUUAAGGAAAUAUCAAUAAUUUAAAGAGGAUUUUUUAAUUUUAAUUUUUUAUAAGAACUUUAAGAAAAUAUCAAUAAUUUAAAAAGUGUAAAAUAGCUAAUAAUUUUGGUUUUUUUUUAGUUAUUUUUGUUUAUAAACUAUUGUUAAGGGUAAUAUUGUCUUUGCAGGGUCAACUAACGGUCAAUGUUAAACUUAACUGACGGUAAGGGGUUUUUUACAAAUAAAUCAAUUCUCGCCAUCUACUUGCAACAAGCCCAAACCUCAAGGGAGGUUUUUAAAAAUUACCCCAUCAAAAAAUGAUUACUGGAGCAUGGGGGCUGGGGUUUCUUUUUCAAAAAUGGGCCGGUAUUUAAAACUCCACGUAAAACAUCUGGGUUCCAUAAUAAGUCAAUUAUUAUGUUGUGGGUUGGGCCACGAUAUUGCCGUAUUCAAUUUGCAUUGGUGUACGAUAACCCAUGGAGGGUACAUGAUGCUCCGGCUUCGAAAAGAUUGGGACUAUUGGCACCCUUAAAAUACCUCUUAAAAUUUCUUUAAUUAUUUUACAAUUUUAAUUUUUAUUAAAAUUAUAAAAAAUGAUAAUUUUUAAUUAAAUCUCAAUCAAAAGUUAAAUAAUUUUUUUUAUUUUAUAAAUAAAAAAUGUUACUUUUUUAUGUAAUUUUUGGGUGAGGAAUUUAUCAUCGAUGACUAUAUUGAAGAGAAUGAAAAUUCAUUAUCUUUUUUAAGAGAUCCAGUUGUUAAAAUAAGUUUUAAUAAUAAAAAAAAUAAAAAAAAUAGAGUUUACACAAUAAAUUUUACUUAAGGAUAUUUUUAUCAUCGAUGGAUGUGUUAAAAAAAUUUUAUAAUUUUUAAAAAUAUUUUAAUAACAUUACUUAUAAAAAAAAGAUGUUAAAAAAUAUUUAAAGGUGUGCUAGUCCCAUUCUUUUAAAAAAAUAUGGGGCCUGAUAAAGACAGGGACCAACUUUCUUACAGUACAGUGUUCAGGACUUCCAAGCGAAGGUCGGGGCCUCAUUACUUCACUUUUUUUUUUUUUUUGUCUUAAUGGAUUCUUAAAAUUUUAGUUUUUUUAUUUUUAUUUUUCGAGGUGAAACGACACUCACCUCGAAAGUUUGCUCGAGGGGACAACAGAACGACUAGAUCAUUCUUUUAAAAUUUGACAGCUAGCGUCAAUUUUCGUUGUUUUAAUUAGUAAUGGACAUUUAAAUCGGUUCCAUUAAUCAAUUUCACCUUUCUUUUUUUUUUAAAUUUAAACUGAAUUACUUUAUUGAAAAAUAAAAAAAAGGAACUACAACUGUCUGAGGAGGACACAAUGAGAAUUACCUCAUAGAAACUGCACAAAGCUAAAGUGAAAAAAAAAAUGUAAUAUAUAUUACCGAAAUGUUCAUAUACAAAAUUACUGAAGAGGACAAAUACUUUAAUUGAAUAAAUCAAACUCUUAUGCAGCCCCCAUAAACCCUAACACUCCCCUUAAUUUUAAAAUUAACUCUCAAGUCCCCAUUUAUUUUCUUUUUUCUGAUACUUUUAUCUUUAAAUUGUUGGAUAAUUGAAAUUAUUGGAUAAUCGAACUGAUACAUAACUUCCUUUUUUUUUUUCGGGAAAAGAGACAAAGCGAUUUUUCCUAAGUCCAAAUGCUAGUUAAAUAUAUACCAGAUGAAUUAUUUUGUAGAAUUUCAAUGGAUUAUAGAAGAUUAACAAACAAAGCAUCAAAUAAAAGAAUAAUCUUACUACAUGAAUCAUAUCUUGAUUUGAAAACAAUCGCUUUCUAACAACUUUUGGGAAUUUGAACUUCUAAUUUUUUGUUAACGAUCAAACAAGGAAUUGGGGUGGGGGGAAUGUUUAGAGUUUAAUUUUGAUAGAUUGAAAGGGAAAUAAGAUGGAAUAUGAAGUUGUAAUUUAGGGUUAAUUUUAGAAUAUAGAGUAGUUUAUAGACUAAAAUUUUAAAAUUUAAAUCACAAUAAAGGGUUUGUUAAGAAAAUGAGUAUUAAAAUCAAUUUUUGGGUUCAAAUAACCACACCCUAUUGGACAUUAUAAACUUUAUAAUACUACAACUAUAAAGUUGAAGUGCCUCUAUCUAUACAACUAUGUUAUGAAACAAUUCAGAUAUCUAUUUAUAUAGGUUCUGUUGAUGCCGAAAUCCGGAUGAGUUGGUUAAAUCUCAGAUCCCUGCAUCAGCAUUAAAUUUGUUUGGUGGGAAGCCGCUGAUUAGUUAGCACCAUGAGCAGAUUUUCUAUAAGCAGAUGUUCCAUGAGCAGACAACUCAUGAGCAGAUGAUCCAUGAGCAGACAACCCAUGAACAGACAAUCCAUGAGCAGAUAACCUGUGAGCCUGUGAGCACAACCAACAGCCAGGAGGCGCCGGAAGUUUUUCCGGCGAGAACCCUGCGACGCUCAAGUCAGCGAUUUGGGUCUUACUUGGAAAAACCUAUACCACAAUUCAUGUGACUUAAUUAUGAUUGCUUUAAACAAAAAAGCUUUUAAGUAAAUUUAAAGGAAAAUAAUUGAGAAUAAUUAAUCUUAAAGAAAUCAUAAGCGAAAGAGAAAUUUUCCAGUGGUAGAGAGAGAAAAAGGUCCAAUGGGUUCAGUUGCCCAGAGAGAGAGAGAGAGAGAGAGAGAGAGAGAGAGCUCGAAGCCCCCCCAUUUCUUUUCAUUUCCUAGGGUUUUUAUAGGAAACUAUAGCGGUUUUUAUCCUCUCCCCUAGAAUUCUCAAGAAAACUAAUAAUUUUCAGCCCACUAAGAAUAUGGUCCCUAAUAUUUCGGAGAAACUAUUUUGACUGAAUCGUGCUUCCUGGUAACUCCCUGGUCGAGGUGACCAAUAACAUCCUGGUCGAGGUGAUGUGUUCGAGGUCACCACAUAUUAUUAUGGUCGAGGUGACCCAUAACAUCCUGAUCAAGGUGAUGUGCUCGAGGUCAUCACAUAUUAUUCUGGUCAAGGUGACAAAUAAUAUCCUGGUCGAGGUGAUAUGGUCGAUGUCACCACAUAUUAUUCUGGUCGAGGUGAUAUGCUCGAGGUCACCACAUAUUAUUCUGGUCGAGGUNNNNNNNNNNNNNNNNNNNNNNNUACCAUUUUGCUGCUGUACCGUACAUCCGCCUUGGCCGCUAGUCGAGAUGAUCUGCUCGAGGUGACAAAUAACAUCCUGCUCGAGGUGAUGUGCUCGAGGUCACCAAACAACAUCCUAGUCGAGAUGAUCUGCUCGAGGUGACAAAUAACAUCCUGGCCGUGAUGAUCUGCUCAACCAUUUGCUCACUUUUACUUUGAGGAGAGCACGAUAAUGUAUGAGCAAACACAUUUAUCUUGGUCACCCUAUUUCAUUCCCUAAACAGGUUCUAUCUAUUUAUUUUAUUUAAGAAAACCUUAUGUAUGCAUUGAAGAGACAUAAAGGGCAGUGGUUUGUCAAUUAUGGCUGAAAUUAAUAAAAGCACCACAAAAACUAUAAAAAAAAAAGCCAAAUACUUUAUUAGGCAAAUCACAAAUUGCCAGCUUGGUUCAUGGAAAGGUCCGAAUAACCCAUAAACCUGCAAUUGCAGGGGUGAUUGUGGCUGGUCAGUAUUGAUGCAUAUACUAAUUAAUUGAGAAAGCCCACAGGAAGAUCAUAAAUUAAAAUUAAAAUUAAAAGGUCAGUGCUACGUUACAAUUAAUGUAACAUACACCCACACAUAACAAUAGUGGUGGGUCCUACUAAUGGGUACUAUUAUUGUGUGUGGGUGUACGUUACAUUAAUCGUAACGUAGGAGCUCCAAAUUAAAAUAUAAAAAAGAAACAUAAGGGUUGUAGCUCUCUCUCUCUCUCAAUGUAUACAUUAAAAAUGUUUCAAUUAGAAAUUUCUGACCAUAUUACAUUCAGAGAUAAGUUAAAAGAUUAAAAAGAUACAGACUCAGAUACCGUAUAUAUUAUUUUUCUCGUGAAGUGACAAUUUUGGAACUACCCCCUUACUAUUGAAAACACUAAGCUACCCCUCAAAAACCGUUAUCUUUAACCAUUGACCGUCGUUAACUCAUGAAAGUGCAAAAACACCCAUACUCCAACAGAAUAUUCUCGUAAUAGAAUUAUAAAGCUCAACAAAAAUAGUUAAUAUAUGACAAGUCAUUAAAAAUGUAAAAAGUUAACUAUUAAAAUAUUAAUAUGUAAGCAUGGAAGAAAAGAUUAAAAAAAAUGUUGAAAUGACUUAAUGGGCCUGAAUAAAUAAGUAGUUUUCCUGAAUUAGACAUGUUAGUUAAGUAAAUUAUAAGCUAUGUUAUCACUUGCAAAUUACAAGAACACAAAAAAUCAAAUUGAAAUUUUUUUGACCCAUUUGUAGUUGUGUCAUGUAAUGUAAAUUACAAGUAUGCCAUUACCUCAAAAUUUAAAUUUUUAUCACAACGUUAUCUCAUGAUUACAAAGACCCCUGUACACAAAGCACCAGUCCCAAAGCAUUGAAAACCAGCCUUUUAGAAUGUCGUCCUCUAAGGAAAGCUCUAUAACUUUUUUGAUGAAGUAAAAGAAGAGAAGUUACAAGUGAUUGACAAGGUCAUCAAGUUCAUAAAUAAAUCGUGUACUAACUAUGGUGAGCGAGCAACAAUCAAAGUUCUUUAAUCUGCUGUAAAUCCUAAGAGGCUUUAUUACGAAUGUGAGAAGAUAGGACGCGAUUACUUUAGGUGGUGUAAGAGGAUUGGGUAAGUUGCAAGAUGAAGAAGAGAACCAUACUUUCCAUCAUAAAAAUAAGAAGUUAAUAGUAAUGACCACCAAGCUAAAUAGUUUAUUGCAAAAUCAAACAAGAUAAAUAGUUUAUUGUAUACUAUUAUCAUAAUGCAGUCACUAUAUAUUAUGUACAUUUAUCAUCUUGGAUAGAAAAUAAAAUAGGUUGAUUACAAGGCUUAAAUAAUAGAGAUAAAUAAGUGGAGAUGAACAUAAGUAAUCAAAAUGUUGAAUUUCAUUAUCAAAAGUUGUAGUUCAUUAUAUUUUGAUAGCACACGAGUUGUUCUUCCUAUAUAUAUAUAUAUAUAUAUACCCUAUCUAUAACUAUGAAAUCCAGAUCAAAGAGCUCUUGGAAUGCUGUGCAGAAGUUCCUAAUCAGUUCUGGGCUAGAGGACAACAUUUUGUGUCUCUACCUUACAAAGAUUGAUGGACCAUGCCUCACCAGACAGCCUCUCAUUCCUCUUAAUAAAAGUAACCUUCGAUUGUUGGUUAUUAUUUUGAUAAUAAUAUAUCUAUAUUCAGUGUAUUCGUAUACUCCUUAGAGAUAAGGAUCAAUAAUGUAAAUAGUGUGUAAUAGUAGAUCCCUUGACCCUAUAAAACGGAGCUCAUGGUCUGUGUCUAGGCAUCAAGUCAUGGAGUACAAUCUUGUAUUUGUAAAUCUCUCAUUUUUUUUUAAUAGAAGUAACCUUCGAUUGUUGGUUAUUAUUUUGAAUUGGUAUCAGAGCCAUACUUCCCAAAAGGAAACCCUUGGGUGUGCAACAAUAUUAUGCUCUGUGGUUGUCGAAAUACUUCAGAUCCUCCACAUUAGAAAGUUGUUGGAUACUGAUCUACCUGUCCAAAAUUUCCACAGAUAAAACACCUGCCAGAGCCCUUCUUCUGUUUCUGCCGUUUGAUGAAGCAGUAUUUCUUUCAUUUAUAGGGUUUCCAGGGCCUUUUCUCUUUUCUCUGUUUGCUAGUAUUGCAAUAACACAUUUUAUCUGUAUGUUGGCAACCAUAUUUAUUUGGUUCCUCAUUAUUUGUGUGUUGGCAACCAAAUUUAUUUAGUUCCUCAUUGUAAAAUUUCUGUAACGAUGAUUUUUUAAUGUGCUUCAUGUGCUUCCUUAAGUCUUGUGAUCUGCAAUGGCUUUGGAUUAAUUCCAUUGCCAUUUGAUAGAGUUGGGCUAUGCUGAGCAAUGAUAAAUCAACAAUUGCAUCAGCUUUUAGCUUUGCCUCCAUCAUUUCUGCAACUGGUCCUGGUAUGUUCAGCACGAACGUUCUGUAGAUGGUGUCCGAGGUUUUGUGAAAGGUAUAGUAUAGCCUUUCCUGCUCUAGGUAAUACUCUUCCAUUUUUCUGACAUCACAACACUUGUUUCGGAGAAAUAGCUUUUCUGUAACCUCUUCUUCUCAUGUGAAUUGCCCUAAGAAAUCUAAGGAUAGAUUUUCUAGAAGGUUUCCACAAGGGUCAUCCUUGUUUAGUAUGUGCUGUCUCUCUUCUCUCGUGAGUUUUCUUCCCCACCAUCUUCUCAACGAGCCUAUGAAUCCUGCUACAAACCUCAUAGCAGCUGCUCUUCUGGUUAGCUGAGGGGCUCUUUGACAUUCGCCUUCGUACCAAGCCACCAUUUUUUCAAAAUAAUAACCUCUUCCUAGUACUUAUUUAUUGAACAACAAACACAACACAAUCAUUAACAUGUUUUAAACAAACUUAUAUCACAUGUUAUAUAACAAAAUCUAAGUGCAGAAAAUUUAUCUGGAUACGAAAUAAAAGAAGGAAGAGAUUUAUUUUAUAACUCAAUGAAGAUCGAAGGAGAUAUAGAAUAAAGAAAUUAAAGUGCCUAGAAAAUACUCUAAAAUAUCUCAAUUAACUUAACUAAAAAAGCAAACAUGCUCCUGAACUUAUCCAACAAGCAAAUAAUCGAUUUUUACAUUAAAAAAAAGAGUAACAAACUUAUUAAUUUGUUCAACCAAAAAUAAAAUAAAAGUCGUAAGUGACUUAAAACUGAAGCUAUAACAGUAAGUUCCUGCACUAAUUUAUGACGAUGUUACUUAUAUGACAUUGAUGCACAUUAAAAACUAACUUACAUUGAUAAGCAAAUAAAAUCAUUAACCCUAUCUUCUUGAAUAUAAAAUUUGAACAAACCUGAUAGUUGUGUUGUUGGUGUUGGAAUGGGUAUUGUAGUUGCUUAGGUAGCAAAACCCUUACUUGUGUAUGUGUGCUUGUCCUUGUCAUUAAGGCAUAACCAUUUAUUCAUAGAAAUAAUGCACCAAGGCUUGAAGUUAUUGCCAAAGUCUUCUGAUGCAUCUACAUAUUAUGAAUGUAAUAAAAGGUCAUUAGAGGCUAAUGAAAUAGAUGGUGGUAAUUGGGGAAAAAAAUAUAAAUUUAUGAACACACAGGAGUAUAAGCUUCACUAUCAUUGUUAUAGUCUUCUUGCUUGCAUUGGUUGGGUUAUGAGGACAACAUCUUGUAUUGUGCCCAAUGCCUUUAUAGUAUAUACAUGAAACUGUGAAUUUUCUCUUGUGGGAUGGGGUCUUGAUACAUUUUGAGGCCAGAUUUCAUCAGGCUCUAUGUGUGGCCACUUAGACUUGUUGAGUAGAGGAUGAAUGAUGCUUGAAUAACAUUUCAGGAAAGCCUCUUUUGUGAAGCAAGGAGCAACAUAUGCUUGAUAGGUAAGCUUUAAAUGAGUUACACAAUGCAUUGUACGACUACAUGAUAGACCACUAAUUUACCACUGCAAACAGUCACAUGUAUAAUCCUCUCAAUUAACUACAUAGGACUUUUUAUUAGCCAUACACGACUUAUUGAUAUCCUUAACUUCAAAUAACACUUCACUUACUAGUAUAACACGACAGAACCUUCCAAUUAUAAUUUGUUCAUUUUCUCAUUAAUAUAAGAAGGAACUUCAGUUCACUAUCUUUGACAUUCCCUCUUUAUUUCUAUGAUUGUAUAUAUCAUCUUAUUUCUUAUAUGCUCCAUCAAGGUGAUUAUUGGUCCCUCUCUUAUAUCUCCAAGCCAUGCAUUCUAACUCUUCGUCAUGUUGUUUGUUGUAUGAUCACAUUUGACUGAUUUUUCAAAAGCAUGAUCUGACCAAUAUUUUGGGUUGAUUUUCCUUAGCUAAUUGAAAGUAAGCUAAUUGAAAGUAUUUACAUCAAACUUCAUUAUAUUGUUCAUUACUUUUGUAUAAUCAUCCUUAUUUGUAACCUUGACAGCCUUUUAGUACUUACUUCUCAACUAUACAUUAGGAAACUGUUGAGUCAAGUUGGAAAAUACACGUCUUACACAGUAUUUGUUAAAAGAAAGAAGUGAUAAGAUUAAUCUUGGGUUACCCUCUGGUGAACUGAUAAAACUUUAAAUUACCCCCUUAAGUUUUGAAAACAUUAGGCAACACUUGGAUUAUAUUUUGGGUUAAUUAAAUCAUACAAAUGUAUAAACUUAAAAAAAAAACUUAGAAUUUUAUAAUAAAUCAAUAAAAAGUAAUAAUUUUAAAAGUUUUACAUAUCUAUUUUGUGAUCCGUAAAACUCCAAGUUCAAGGCAUUUAGUACGCCAUUCUGUCUAUCCGUCGUGAAGGUUAAUGGCCUUGAAUCAAUCAAAUACUCCUUUAAAUACCUUAUAAACCAUGUUUAGCUUAGUGUUCUUAGACUUACACACAUACUGCUAAUAGAAAGAUCCUUUAGUUUGAAUCAAGUGUAACUAUUGAUAACAGUACAUUGUCGAGUGACUCUUUCAAAUGACAUCCAUUAAGACUAAUAAAAUGGUCUACAACCCUCCUUGAAACCAUCUUUAAGUUCUGGGAAGUUGAUAAUGAACCUUUAGUACCAUACUUGUCUGUAAGGGUGCGUGAUUUUGUAACUUUAAUUUUAAUUUUUUUUUUACAUUUACACCACAAAUUAAUAUUUCCUUUGUCUUUUUUUAAUUUUAAUUUUAAUUUUUUUUACAUUUACACCACAAAUUAAUAUAACUAGAACAAAAUGGGGUUAGGUUGAAAAUAUUGAUUGAUUUGAUGUUGCCUGCACAUGUUAUCGUCAUCCACGUCCUUCUAUGCCUAACGACCAUUACCGAUUUAUACAAAUACCAUCAUACUCUUUUCACUUUUUAAACUAACGGAGAGAUAACAAGUUAGGGUAUCUUGAUGUUUUCAAUAAUAAAGCGGGCAAUUUGAAGAUCGUCACUUAACGAGAGGACAAUCUGAAAUUAUUAUUUUUUUAAUCUUUUACCUUAUCCCUAACUAUAAUAUAGUUAGGUAUCCCUAAUUACAAACCCUCUCUCUCCAUAUAUAAUUAAACUAAUUAGGAUAUAUACAUUAAUGCAUGCGUCUUCAACAGAGAGGGCAACGUCCAUUCAACUGGAUAAAUUAUACUAUUGCUUUUCCCUUUAAAAGAAAUCCGAAAUUAAUACGACCUUUGUGUUGAUAUCCAAAAGACAAACUUUUAAUAAGAGCUUUCAAUUUCCUUUCUUUUUUGGUCAACUUUUUUCCUUCUUUUCUCCAAGAUACAUGUGAAAGAGAAAGUAUAAAAAAUUUUACUUCUUGCAUUUUAAGAUAACUUCAACUCUCUAGCCCUCCCUCUCUCACUCACAUGAUUUGAUAUAUUUCUCGUGAUCAUAUUAGAGUUCUUUGGAUCAAUCUGUGUUCUGUUGUUUCAAGACAAAGAAAAGCUAAAGCAAAUUACUUUCUAUUUAAUUUUAUAGCUUUUAACGGAAAAAAGGAAAAUGACCCUUAUUAAAUGCUCAACUUAUGUGGUUGCAAUAGUCAAUCAUGUGAAUGUUCUUUUUUAUUUCAUCAUGUAUAUAACGCUAAUUUGCAUGAUAAACCCACUAAACUAUCAACGUAUUAGCUAGGUAAUCAGUAUUAACCAUGAAAAUAAAGUGUAAUUUCUAAUAUCUUGAUGAAAAAUCUAGCUUAUUCAAGACUCUUUUCUAUCUCAUACGUUAUUUGUUGACGUAUAGUUCCUUUAGUCCACAUAAAUUUCCUCUAGGGUUUCUAGAGAAAAUGGAUGUGCUAUAUAAACUGAAUCGUAGGAUCAUUUUCCUUAGAUCAAAUUUUGAAUGUCGUAACAUUCUUCUCUAAGAAAAUUUUCUCAAGUCCCUUAUAUAUCUUCCAAUAUUAUCCAUGGCACCAAACAGGGAAAACAUUGUUGGUUCAAUCUCAAGGUGCAACAACAAUUUUGUUCACAAGCCUCGACUAUCAAACGAAACUCUUCAGAGAACAAAAUCGGAUAUCUUAUUCGAGCUAAGAAAAGAAGAGUUCGAUGCAAAGGGAGAGCUUCCACCGAUAUCUGAGGUUGAGGAUGCAAAAUGCGAGUGCUGUGGCAUGUCAGAAGAGUGCACAGCCGAAUACAUAAAUCGUGUGCGAGAAAAGUUUUCAGGAAAAAUGAUUUGUGGGUUGUGUUCAGAAGCUGUGAAUGAAGAGAUGGAGAAGAAUGGAGGCAAAAGAGAAGAGGCUUUGAAUGAGCACAUGAGUGCAUGUGUGAGGUUCAAUAGGUUUGGUAGGACUCAUCCGGUAUUGUUUCAAGCUGAGGCCAUGAGAGAGGUGUUGAAGAAUUCUAGGGCUAAGUCAAUAAGUCCUAGGGAUAAAAAGGGCGGUAACGUAAAGAGAGGAGGAAUUGCAAGGAGCUCCAGUUGUAUACCGGCACUUACAAGGGACAUUAAUGAUCUGAAAAUAAUCAACUAACUAGUCAGGAUACCAGUUUGAUGAUUUUAAUUCCUUAAUUUCUUUGUAUGUAGAGUAAAAGAUAACUUUUAAGAAGAAGGUCAUCAUUUACACUACCCAGGCCAUCAUGGUCCAGGAAACCAUACUUUGCGAAACGAUAUAAUUUGCUUUCUGUUACUAAGUUUGUAUUACAUAUAUAAUCAUGCUUUCUAUUAACAAGUUUGUAUUAUUAUUAUAUGUAAGAAGUUGUUGUUGAAGUACUAUUUUAGUGGACAAUAUAUAAAUUUAUUUUUAACUUAUUGUCAAUCCCAAAAUUAGAAAUGUAAAUUAGCGGUACGUUGAUUUAUCUUUUGGAAAAAUUUUGAGUGACUUGGAAUAUUAUUGCAACCUUUUACAACUACUUUUUUGGGCCGUGAGUAUUUCAAACAAUCAGGAAAAUCUCAAAAAGCAAAUUGUUAGAGUAAGUUGAUUUAGCUUUUGGGAAAAAUUUUCGUAUUGUUUUGAAGUACUUCAUAUAUUUCAAACAAUCAGGAAAAUGUUCGUUUAAACGUGGCAAAAAAUGAAUGGAAAAUGAGUAAUAUUCUUAUAUCACCAUUAUUUCAUUUUGCGGUAAACAUAUUUUUUUUAGAUCUUAUUGAGAAUAUCUUCUAUAUAAAAUACCAAACAACUCAAUCUUAAACCAAGUUUAGGACUGAGGUUAAAACCUAAUAAACUAUUUAUUUCAUAGUUCUCACUACAAGAAGUUAGACUUU
This 65865-nucleotide long non-coding RNA is filed under the name Citrus sinensis (sweet orange). Its description in RNAcentral is "long non-coding RNA (CSIN_LNC001833)". The record is from RNAcentral. Lineage: Eukaryota; Viridiplantae; Streptophyta; Magnoliopsida; Sapindales; Rutaceae.